UGUAAGUUAAGCUCUUGUGCCUCGGAUACAAUGGUCCCAAGACCAUGGAAUCAUUACCUCUUGAGUCUCGAGUCAAUGAUUCAGUGGUACUUGCUGAGCAAGUAACUGAGUUCGUUAUAUACUUUUCCCAUAUCGCCAAUUCAGUAUAUCGCAGAUCACCUGUCAUCAAACAAGCAAGCAACCGAGUCUCUCUCUCUCUCUCUCUCUCUCUCUUUUCUUGCAUAUUACAAAAGGCUCCUCUGUUUUUCUUGCAUAUUACUGACUGCUUGUUAUUCAUCAUGACACGUUUACAAUACUUUACAUCUACAUAUCCUUUGUGGAUUUACAAAUUGGAGUCUCUGUAUUCCCCUUCAAUAUGUAAGAAAGUGUAUGUACUGCUAGCUCCGUGAAGGCGUGAAAUACAAUGUAUAUGGUUAUGGAGUUCUUCUUUUACAAAUCCUAAGUGGCAAAAGAUCUUCAUGCUAUUAUAUACGGCCCCAACAAAAGUUUGAACCUUUUAGCAUGUGUAACUUUAAUUUAGGUUCCCUUUUCUUCGAUCCUGAAUCAGCACUUAAUUACACAACUGGUGCCACUAUAGCUGCAUACACUGUCAUGUCACAUGUAUGAUUGAAGAAGAUAUUGAAAGUAUUUUUCAUUCUCCAAUUAACUAAGAAUGCUAAUCAGCCAGUCAUCUUCAAGCUAUGCCGAGGAGAUUUCCCCGAUUGCUUUGAUAAUACAAAACAGAGAUGGUGGCAGUGAACAAAUUAAGCCGAUGCUUACUGGAACCUACCCUUGGGAGGGUCGGGGACAAUCAGACAACUUGCUUGUAUGUCUCAUCAGCGUUCUUUCAUUUAACAAUUAAUAGAGAAUAAUUGUACUGCAGAUUUUAAUUUAGCAUCUCACGAGUCAGUGUGUAGGUCAUAAUUAGCUCACUUUUACCCCCAAGGCCCUUUCGAUUUUUGAACAGGUGAGUUUGAUUAUUUCUAUGACUGCAUAAUUUCCAUUUUCCUGAGAUUCCAAUCCAUGAAGCAAGUGUUUCAACAAAGAAAAAGGCGCAAAAUUCUUAGAAACUACUGAAUAAUCAACAAAGAAAAAUUGCUUUGACUACAUCUUUCACACUACGUGGGCUGUGACCAAUUAUGGUAUGUGGGCAAGACAUACAAAAGCUUUUCACACUACGUGGCAAAGACCAAAGAGAAUUCUCUCUCGUCCCCAAUCAGCAGAAAGCUGGCAGCCCAUUGUCGAUUUAAGCCACAUAAAUUCAAUGAAGAGUCAAACAUCUCAAUUUUAGCUGAAAAGGGGUAACAUUUCAAUUCAAGUCAAUACAUUAUGUAAGAUCAAAAGAAGCAGAUGUCUCCGAGAAAACGAAUGAGUUGUUGUAUUUAAUUGUGUUGCCACGGGCUGCAAACACAGUCAUCCGUAUGAACAUGGACCAUGUGGUCGUUACGCACUGCCUGGUUCAGGCGAUCCGCAAUACUUCAGUGUUCUUUUUCUGGUCCGGAGUUGCUCCCGUCCGCUUGACCCUUAGAUUCAGUGGACCGUGAUGGUCCCACGACCAUCAUUACCUCCUAACUCAAUGACUCCAUCUUCGCUCGAGUCGAUUGGGUUCCAUUUAGAAUUGAGUAGUCCUAUUCACACAUUAAAUUAUUACUAUACUGAAUCUUGGAUUAUAUUUUAAACACCUUUUAAAAUUAAUUUCUACACUAAGCAUCUUUCUACUUAUUUUUAAAAAUCGUUUGCUUAGAUAUAAAAAAAAAUGAUAUUGCGAAUUGCCAACUAAUUCAAUUGCUUAAAUUUAUUGAUUAUUGGGUGAGAAUAAUAUAGGUGUAGAGUUUGAACUCUACUCUACUCAUAUGAAUAGGAUAGGAAAAGAAUUGAGUUAACGCCAUUAGCCAUAACUGAAAAUAUGGAAUAUGGAAUAUUCUCUCUUAACCCCCGUGCUCUUAUCUAAACACCAUGUCUUUUCUACUUUUUCUUGAGAUGAAGAAGUCAAAUUGGAAUUACUUGCCAAAGCUGUCAAAGCACGGGUAAAGCUACAGUGAAAGACUUGCGCAGGAAGCUGUUAAGCCCUAUAAAAAUAAGUCACUCGCUCCCCACUUCACUCACUUGUCACCGAAUCAAUCAAAGAAUAGAAAAAGCAACUCCUUGAAGAAAGUUCUUCUUCUCUCUCCCUCUCUGUCUUAUCUUGCUCUGUUUCUCCUCUGUUUUUUUCCUCCUCUUUUCAUUAAAAUUUAAGAAAACAUACCCAUUUCAAGCAAAUGGAACACGAAGCAUUUAAGCUCACCAAGAAGCAAAACCGCCUGCCGCCGGCGAGAGGCCAAGUUCUGAAGAAAAUAUUGAACGAUUGGUUCGGAUCAGCUGGAGGAAAGAGAAGGGGAAAUGGACUUGUUAGUAGGGAUGGCAAAAAUCUCCGCUGGAUUCCAACCCGUGGGGGUCCGGCUCAUUCCGGCCCGGUUCUCGCCCUCGAAACGCUUCAAAAAAUUUUGGGUCUGAUUUUGGGGAAAAACUUGAAGCCCAUAGAAUAAUUCAGAUGGUUUCGGGGCGGGGAUCAUUUUUGAGUAAUCCAUAAAUCUGAAACUCCUAGUGGUAGGCUUAGUAGCUCAAGCGCAUCGAACCCCGCUGAAAGUCCUAAUGGCUACAAUUCAAAUGUUGCCUCUUAGUCUUCAGUCUUGAAUCUUGAUUAGGCUAUCAACUUUAACUGGGGGCUGAUCGUGGCUCAAUUUUUCUUUCUCCUUUUUUCUUUUUUGACAUUUUGUUCUUAGACUUUCUUUUUUUUUCCUUUGGCUUGUCAUUUCUUGUAAUUGAAGAUGAUUAUGGAAGGAUGGGAUUGAUGGUUAAAUAUAGGGAUUUUGGGGGAUGGAUACCCAUGUUCAGGCCUGUGCAUUAUUACUGUCUUUGUUUUUGGUUUUGUCUGUAAUGGAUAUAAUUUCUAAUUUUUCAUAGAUUUUGGCAAUUAAGCAAUUACCGUUAUUACUUUUCUUUUUCUUGCUUCUGGCUCUUCAUGCUCUGUCAGAAAUAUGGUGUGUUUUUACUUUUUAGAUUUGGAUCAAAUGGUUGUGGAAUCGAACGAUCACGCGUGGCGCCGGAGUCCGGAUUUUGGUCGAUGGGGACCUUGAUGGAAAAAUCAUUAACUAUAGUAGGUUAUAAUAUAAAACUUAUAAAAUUGGGAGACCAACAGUACAGUAGGGGUCACAAUGGAGGAUCUAUAAAACAAAGUUAUAAAAAUUAAAUACAAAUACGAGGUUCCAAAUGCAAAAUGUACAUAAAAUUGGUAAAGUUUCUUCAAUGCAGUUCUCGGAUUUUGGUACAUUUUCAAUGUUUGUGAUUUUGAUAAAGAUCAUGACUUAUUUAUCCUUAUUAAAUUUUUUUUUUUCAAUAGAAUCCUUAUUAAAUUUUUAAUUUAUGAUCAAUGGUGAUUAAUUUUGUCUUCCUUUUUAUGGGAUUGUGGUAACUUGGAUGACUAAAAGAAACAAAACAAUCCAAGCUACUGCCCAAGGAUCUGAUCAAAGAUCAAUCAAGAUGCAAACUAGAGUGUAUCUGAAUAAGAACAACGAAUUGACUUGAGCAAUCUAACAAGAAACUCAAUAAAUAAGCAAGAUUCCAACGAAAGCUAAAACAGAUCAAAGGAAAAACAGAGACACAAGCGACUACAUGGUCCAGCCACUUCUCAGUGACCUAUCUGUUGAUGCCAAAAUCCGGAUGAGUUUGUCAAAUCUCAGAUCCAUACAUCAUCAUUAAAUUUGUUUGGUGAGAAGCUGAUGAUUAGUUAGCACCAUGAGCAGACGAUCCAUGAGCAGAUAACCCAUGAGCAGACGAUCCAUGAGCAGACGAUCUAUGAGCAGACGAUCCAUGAGCAGAUAACCUAUGAGCAGACGAUCUGUGAGCCUGUGAACACAACCAAUAGUCAGGAGGUGCCGGAAGUUUUUCCGGCGAGAACCCUCCGACGCUCAAGUCAGUGAUUCGGGUCUUACUUGAAAAAACCCAUACCACAAUUCAUGUGGCUUAAUUAUGAUUGCUUGAAAUAAAACUCUUUUAAGUAAAUUUAAAGGAAAAGAAUUUGAAAUAAUCAAUCUUAAAGAAAUCACAGGCGAGAGAGAAAUUUCUCAGUGGUAGAGAGAGAAAAAUGUCCAAUGGGUUCAGUUGCUUAGAGAGAGAGAGCUCCAAGCCCCCUUUCCUUUCCUUUUCUAGGGUUUUUAUAGAAAACUAUAGCGGUUUUCAUCCACUAAGAAUAUGGUCCCUAAUAUUUCGGAGAAAAUGUUUUGACUGAAUCGUGCUUUCUGGUAACUUCCUAGUCGAGGUGACCAAUAACAUCCCGGUCGAGGUGAUGUGCUCGAGGUCACCACAUAUUAUUCUGGUCGAGGUGAUGUGCUCGAGGUCACCACAUAUUAUUCUGGUCGAGGUGAUCUGCUCGAGGUCACCACAUAUUAUUCUGGUCGAGGUGAUCUACUCGAGGUCACCACAUAUUAUUCUGGUCGAGGUGACCAACAAUAUCCUGAUCAGAGGUGAUCUGCUCGAGGUCACCACAUAUUAUUCUGGUCGAGGUGAUCUGCUCGAGGUCACCACAUAUUAUUCUGGUCGAGGUGAUCUGCUCGAGGUCACCACAUAUUAUUCUGGUCGAGGUGAUCUGCUCGAGGUCACCACAUAUUAUUCUGGUCGAGGUGACCAAUAAUAUCCUGGUCAAAGUGAUCUGCUCGAGGUGACCAAUAACAUCCUAGUCGAGGUGAUCUGCUCAACUAUUUGCUCACUUUUACUCUGGAGGAGAGCGCGAUAAUGUAUGAGCAAACACCUUUAUCUUGGUCACCCUAUUUCAUUCCCUAAACACUAUCUCUAUGGGGAAGAAAUCGAUCAGCCCCGUUGAUUAUUUCAAUGGCGAUUACAAGAAAUUGUAAAACUGUUUACAGAGAAUUGAAUACCGGUUUCUCUCUCCACAAUCACUCUCCAAAAUGCCUUUCCAGAUUGCCUAGAAAGCUGCCACGUACUUCAACAGUUAUGACAACCUUUGCUUAAGCUGCCCACCAGACUCGCUUAAUGAACCACCAGAACGCGAAAAUGCUACGCCGUUUUGAUGUUAUGGAAUCAAUUAAAAGGUCACAUGAGAAGCACAUGACUAACUUAAAACAUCAAUCAGGCUGAUACAUUGUCGUUUCACCAUUCCGGUUUUGAUUCGCAUCGAUCUCGACAAUAAUGGACUUGGAAUACAAAGUUUCAAACUUUGAGACGAUCGCCACUUUGUGCUUUUUAUUUGAAAGCAUGAGCAAAUAAACUAAGUUGUCGGUUUCGAAUUUUCUAUCCCAAAGGCGAACUAAUUGGCAAGUGUAGCUUAUUGGGUGGGGUGGCAAAACGAAUAAUCGAAUCGAAAUAUUCGGAUUUAAUUCAUUUAUUAAAUGAAUAUUCAAUUUGAUUUGUUUAAUUCGUUUAAUAGAAUUAAUAAACGAAUCCAAUCCAAUCCAAUCUAAAUUCGUUUAUUAUUCAUUUAUCAUAAUAAUAAACUAACACAUAAUGAUCGAAUUGAAUAUGAAUUCGUUUACAAAAAUUAAAUAAAUAAUACAAACCAUAAAAGUUUUCAUCUCAUCUAUAUAUUGUCUUAUUAUUAUUAUUUAUAAUUACUAGAUUAACCUUCAAAUUUUAAAAUUUUUUCAUAAAUAUUUAAAAAUAAAUAAGUAAUUUAUUAAACGAAUAGAUUGUAUUCGAUUCGUUUAUAACCCAUUUAUUUAACGAAUUCUAAACGAAUAAACAAAUUAGUGUCUUUAAAUCCAAAUCGAAUCGAAUUCACCCAUUUAUUAAAUGAAUCAAUAUUUUAAAACUCAAACUUAUUUAAUUCGCUUCAAAUCGAAUCGAAUAAAUGAAUCUUGACCCAAAUUGCCGUCCCUAUACUAUUGGGUUACCAUAUUCUUCGAAAAUGAGUCUUCAAUUCUAUUUUGGAUUCGAUGUCCAAUUAGUGUUUAUGUCAAAAAAAAGCACAAAGUAAUAAUUGAAGAAGGUAACUAAAGAUGAAAGAUUAGAAGGUCAAGUGUCCAUGACAACGUAGCAAAACAUUUUAAUUAUUUAUAUUUUAAUAAAUAGUGUAGAACCUUUGAAUCUGUAUUACGUGAUUGUGUCGUAUGCAUCAACAAGUCAUCUUUCUAGAAGACAAGUUCUUAUUUUAAUUUUUUUUAAAAUUUUUUUCAUUGGUUAGUCAAUGGAUAUACUCGUUCUACACAUGUUAUUAUGUUGUUCUUUUUGAAAUUAGUAAAAUACAUUAAAAAUGGCUUAAAAGAAUUGUCAAUACUCAACAAUACAUCACCACGAUUAUACACGAACUACAAGAUUAUACGCGAUCAAAUACAUUAUUUAAGACAAAACAUAAGACUCGAGCCUUAAUUACAAGAUGUUUGAUAACAAGGAUACAUAGUAGAGUCUUUUCAUAUUUAUUAGAACUAAAAGAAGAAUAAACAGCCCCAUUUAUUAAAGUACAAUGAGAUGGAUAAAGAUCCUCUCUUGAUCUGAGUUCUCAUGAACUUUUAAUAAUUUUGUGUCAUGUGUAUUUAAGUAAUAGUGUAUGAGUAUAAUUUUAACUUAUUCAUUUUCUUUUUUUAUUAACUAUCAAUUAUCAUGUGUAUUUUUGCUCAGGAGCAUAUCAGAUCAUGAGAGAAUGAGGAGAUGAGAUCAUGAGAGAAUUCUAAUACACAAUGAGUUAGAUGAAAAAUUUUAUACCAAUGAAUUAGUGAAUCCAUGUCAACUAUUGUAGGUGGAGAUCACAUUCCAAUAAGAAAUAAAAUAUUGUUGUUAUCGCCGUUAAAUUAUACAUUAAUUUAUCGCCUUUUAUUGUCAUCGAUAAUAAUUAAAAAAAUGCAAUGGGCUGGUCACUUUAACGGAACUAGUUCGAAUUUCAGCUGCAAAAAUAUUUAUUUAUUUAUUUUAAUUUAGGCCUUACUUCUAAUUAGUGCAUAUUUCUAACUUUUUUAGUGUGUGCGAUUAUAUGUAUAUAAAUUUUUAGCCGACUAUAAAUUACCAGAUAUAUGCAACCGGUAGCAAUUUAAGUAAAAACAAUAAUUUGAUAAUAACUUUAUACUUUUCUCGGACACACUCAUAAUUUCGAAUUUUCAAUUUUCUUUGUAAGUUGAGCUCUUGUGCCUCGGAUACAAUGGUCCCAAGACCAUGGAAUCAUUACCUCUUGAGUCUCGAGUGAUUCCGUGUUUCUUGCUGAGUAGGUAACUGAGCUCGAUAUAUACCCUUCACACCUCGCCAAUUCAGUAUAUCGCAUAUCUUAUCAUCAAACAAGCAGGCAACCGAGUCUCUCUCUCUCUCAUUUCUUGCAUAUUACAAGAGGCUCCUCUGUUUUUCUUGUUCAAUUCCUCUGUUUCUCCUCUGUUUUUCAUCAAACAUGUCUCGAUUGAAAUUGAAGUAUACCCAUUUCAAGAAAAUGGAAUACGAAGCAUAUAAGCUCAUGAAGAAGCAAAAUCUUCGCCUGCCACCAAAAAGAGGCCAAGUUUUGAAGAAGAUAUUGAAGGAAUUGUUCGGAUCAGCUGGAGGAAAGAGAAGGAGAAAUGGAGUGGGUCGUGGUGGGCUUAGCUAAAGCUCAUCAACCCCAGCUGAAACUCCUAGUGGCUACAGUUCAGAUGCGGCCUCUGAGUCAAGCUCUCAACUUUAAUUAGCGUCUAAUCACGGCUGAUUUUUGUUUUUUGUUUUUUUAAUUCAUUUUCUUUUCAUUGCUUGUGUCUGAUGACUGAUGGAAGGAAGAGAUGGGUACCCUUGUAUAGACAUGUAUAUUAUUAAUAAUCUUUUUUUUAUUUUAUUUUUUGUAAUAAUGUUUUAUACUGAGUAAAACUUCGAUUUUGUAAAGCCCUGCCUCUUCUCUGUCUGAAAAUCUGGGAAGCAAAUUCGUGUUUGAAAAAAAAAAAAUUGAGGAGAUGAGUACUGAGUUGAUUCAUUGAAUGAUAUCAUGGUUCUUACUUCUGAGAUUAUGAUACAUUUCCAUAUUUUGUGAUUCUGAUGAUGAUCAUGAUUGUAUAUUCAUUUUCUUGAUCGACGGCGAUUAUGCAUCUCCUCUGUCUUCCAUUUUUCGGCGACUCCUACACACAGUAACUUCGCUGGGCCAGUGGGUUUGAUGUUGAUGUUCAAACUUUGAAUGGCUCGUCGCUUUCUAAAACAAUCUUUUUCACUUGUCAGUUUGACGGCUUCUACCCUGAUCGUGAAAAAACAAUUGGUAACUUGAUGCAUUAUGUAAUCAGGGGCUGACCUCCCUCUGGGACUUUGAAAAAAAAAAUGCAUAAAUAUGUAAUUUUAGUUUUUAAAAUAUAAUUUUUUGUAAUCUCAUUCUGAUAAGAUUAAUAUUUUAUCGGUUUAAAAUUUUUCAACUUCAACUUCUAAAAUUUUGUUUUUAAAAGUUUUGGCCCCUCUAAAAUUUUAGUGCUAGCUUCGUCCCGUGACGUAAUUUUAUAACCUUUUUUUUGUAAAUAGUAUCCUAGUUGUUAACCCGACAACCCUGCAUAAUAUGGACCUGUCUUCGUCCUGUACCUUACAGCUACUCUUGCACAAUAAACUGAAAAGUGAGCCCAAGUGGGAUCUACGGCCAUUUUGUGAGAGUGUUGUAAGGUACAGAUUCUGUACCGUAGCAUUCUCCUUAGAUCACAUACACAUAUAUAGUCUCAUUAUAGCAACCGCAGAAAAGCUAACUCCAUGUAAAUUUCCUUCUCCAACAAGCAAAAGUAGUUCAAACUCAAUUCUUACACGUUACAAGCUGUGAGGCUAUAUGUCUAGCUAGAACCUUCUAAUCGUAACAUAAUUUGAUCGAAGGUUAGGUAAUUUUCGCAGUUUCUGAUAAUAUUAAAAAUUGUAAGUCAACGUGAAGCACUGGAAUUUAUAAUUGGCUUGCCAUCGUUAUCCAAUCUCUCUAAUUUUUUUUCCACGUGCUCUUAAGACUUCUUCACUCCUAGAGAUUUUCCUUCGCCUCCAAGAAACUUUCAAAAUGAUGACAAUUUAAGCCACCAUUAAUUCUCUCUCUAGAAUGAUAGUGUGAUACGUUUAGUUUGAGCCUCAUUUUGUGCAAACUGUUGCAACGUUAGUUUUUUUUUUUUGUUUUUUUUAGACUGAUUAAUCAUCAGAUUACUGCAUUACACAGAUAUUUACAACAACUGCUUAUUGUAGUAGAGGUAUUACACUGAUAUUUACAAUCAGAUAUACAUGAUUGGGACUUACAUUAUAUUUACAACAACUGCUUAUUGUAGCAGAGGUAUUACACUUAUAUUUACAAUCAGAUAUACAUGAUUAGGACUUACAUUAUUACAAUGAAUUCUAUGAAGUACAUGCCCAAUACAAAUAACCUCUCACAGGAGAGGAUGUUAAUACUCCACUUGCAUUUCGCAAGGGAGAAUGAUAUAAAGAACAUUUAGCCCCCACAAUGCUUUUGUGGGGGAUAGAACCACUGCCCUCACAAUGCUUGUGAGGGCAGCAGCCCACCACUUCGGCCAAGGCCGAAGUGGCGUUGCAACGUUAGUUUGUUUGUGCCUUGUAGCAUCAAAAUCAGAUCUAUUUUAGUUUGACACUAUAUACACACACAUACAAACCGGAGGAAAAAUCAAUAUGUGAGAAAGUGGAAACAUAAAAUUUACAUAGAAAGGUGUUAUCUUUUAAUUAAAGUCCUUAUUUUACAUCAUUUCAAUAACAAUAAUGAUAAUUUACGAAAUUGAGAUAUAAAGAAAAUUUAAUAAUAAUAAUAAUAUGAUCGAAGUUCUUCCAUAUAUGCACUUACUAUAAUUAGUCAUUGAAUAUUUUCAUUUCCUAUGAAUGAUAAAUAUUAUAUUAGUUGCACAUUAAUUAAGAUAUAAAUUUUAUAUUUCAACUUUAUACGUAUACCAUUACUCUCUUAAAAAUAUAGUGUGCUUACCUCACUUACAGUUUAGUUCCAUCUCUAACCUCAUUUUCCUCAAAUAUCCCUUGCUCAUCCUGUCUACUCUUUAUAACGGCCUACCUAGGUUUUAUCAACAUCAACGAACCAUAAAGAACACUCAUAAUCUAAUCUUUGCACCAGACAACUUACAAAACAAAAUUUAUUGGAUUUAAUAUGACUCAACCAAGAUUUAGUUAAAACACACGCGUUUAUGGAUUGAAUGAAGAAUAGUAGGAGAUACAUUGUUUGUAUUGUUAGUAAGAGUAUAUUUUUUGAGCUACCUUUAGUAAUUUUUAGAUCAUAUUAUGCAUGUAGAGUUGUAAGAAUUCUAAAUUGUAAUACAUUGUAGAUUUGCAACCAGUGAGAAGAAAAUUAUUAUGUUUCAUUAUUAUAUAAUAAUUUGGUUUUGCUUUCAUAAUCUUUGAAAAUAUUUAAUGCCACGGCCAUUUUAAUUAUGCAUGUCACUUAACAUCCAUCGAAUAUACCUUGAGAGAAAAAAAUAUAAUUUAAAUAUCCUUUAGAGAGAUAAUUAAGCCACUAGGCUUUAAUAUAGUAGUUAGAACCCAAACCUCAUAAUUAGGAGAUCAUGGGUUCGAGCCCCACAUUGCAUUAUGGUGGUUUAAUUUACUUCCUUAAUUUGAGUGAAGAUAAUAUUCUCCCUUUCGAAUAUUAGAGGGUAAAAAUUUGGACAGUACAGUAGACGUCCUUCGAAUAUUAGAGAGUAUAAAAAUCUAACUAGUCUUGUUAAUAAUUUGAUUUAUAAAUAUAAGUUAUAAUCUAAUGUAAUAUGAGUUGUACUCUUGAACAAUAAUCUCAUAUAUAUAUAUAAGAAUUAAUCACCAAUAACGAAGAGAACUACUGAUUCCAAAGUAUAAUCCUAACCCAUUCAAAUUAACUAAUUUGAUAUACUUUAGGAUCAAUGUUUUAUUAAAAUUCAAAAGUUAAAAGCGUGUCAAUACAGACAAUGUAUGUCCUGCUAUUCUUUGUUCAAUCCAUACAUAAACAUGUGUGUUUAAACUAAAUGUUGAUUAAAUCAUAUUAAACCCAAUAUUUUUUUUUUGUUUUGUAAGUUGUGUGGUGCAAAGACUAAAUUAUGAGUGUUCUUUAUGGUUCUCUAAUAAAACCUAGGUACGCAGUUAUAAGGAGUAGACAGGGUGAGCAAGGGACAUUUGGAUGUGGAGUCAAACUGUAAGUGAGAUAAGUGCACCACAUUUUUUAGAGAUAAAUAGUACUUAUAAAGUUGAAACAUAAAAUUUGUAUCUUAAUUAAUGUUGCCACCGAUAUAAUAUUCAUCAUUCAAAUGAGAAAUGAAAAUAUUCAAUGACUAAUUAUCAUAAGAGCAUAUAAAAUAACAUCAUAUUAUUUGGAUACAAACUUUAUAUCUCAACUUUAUAAAUUUAUCAUCAUUGUUAUUAAAACAAUAGCCAUGGCUACCUUGAAGUUGCUCUAAACUAGAUUAAGAAUCAUAACCACAUACGCAAAGUGAUAAAUAGUAAAAAAAUACAUUAUAAUCUUAAUCGUGUGAUUAUAAAAAAAGUGCUCUACCGUAGAUACAUAAUAAGGACUUUAAUUAAAAUAUAACAUCUUUUUAUGUAAAUUUUAUGUUUUCAGCUUUCUCAAAUAUUCAUCUUUCCUCCAAUAUAUAUAUAUAUAUAAUUGUCAAACUAAAAUAGAUCUGAUUUUGAUACCACAGGACACGAACAAACUAACGUUGCAACAGUUUGCACAAAAUCAGACUCGAACUGUAUAUCACUAUCAUAGCAGAGAAAGAAUUAAUAGUAGCUUAAUUUGUCAUCAUUUUAAAAGUUUAUUGGGCGGCGAAGGAAAAUCUCUAGGAGGAGUGAAGAAAUCUUAAGCCGGUAUGACCAGCAUGCGGCAAAAUUAGAGAGAUUGGAUAAUGAUGGUGAGCCAACUAUAAAUAUCAGUCCCUCCCGUUGAGUUUCAACUUUUAAUAUUUUCAGAAUCCUCGAAAGUUACCUAACCUUCAAUGCCUGCACUCAGUCGUUACAUGGGCUUAACCUUAAUUUAUUGUCGCAAAGACGAAUUUAUAUGUGUGCGCGCGCGCGUGAUUCCACAGUUUAUAUUUAUAAAUAAGUAAUAAUUUAGACACUAUUAUGUAGUGUUGCCGAGUUAACAAUUCAGAUACUACUUACCCCAAAAAAAAUAUAUAUAUAUAGAAUUGCGUCCACUAAGGAGCGAUCACUAAAAUUUUAGACGGCUAAACUUUAUAAAAAUAAUUUUUUUAGAAGUUAAAAAAAUUAAACUUAUAAAAUAAUAAAUUUAUCGGAAUGAAAUUAUGAAAAAUAAUAUUUUAAAAACUAAAAUUAUAAAUAUCUUAUGCGUAUUUAUGUAAUAUUAUAAAGUCUGAAAGGGAGAUCAGCCCACGAUUAAUUACAUCAAGUAUACAAUUACCAAAUUUUUACGCCAUCGGAGUAGAAGCCGUCAAACUGGCUAAGUUAAAAAGGUUGUUUUUAAAAAGCGACCAGCCAUUCAAAGUUUGAACAUCCACAUCAAACCCACUAACCCAGCGAAGUUAUUAUGUGUAGGAGUCGCCGAAAAAUGGAAGACAGAGGAGAUGCACAAUCACCGUUGAUCAAGAAAAUGAAUAAACAGUCAUGAUCAUCAUCAGAAUCACAAAACAUGGAAAAUGUAUCAUAAUCUGAGAAGUAAGAACCAAGAUAUCAUUCAAUGAAUCAAUUCCGUACUCAUCUCCUCAAAUUUUAUUUUAUUUAAAAAAAAAACACGAAAUUGCUUCCAAGAUUUUCAGACACAGAAUAUGUUAGAGCUUUAGAAAACCAAAGUUUUACUCGGUAUAAACAUUAUUACAAAAAUAAAAAUUAAAAAAUUUAUUAGUAAUAGACAUGUCUAAACAAGGGCACCCAUCUCUAAUUAUCAUUACAUAUCUCAACUUCGUAAAUUAUCAUUAUUGUUAUUGAAAUAAUGUAAAAUAAGGAAUUUAAUUAAAAGAUAACAUCUUAAUUUCUAUGUAAAUUUUAUGUUUCCACUUUCUCACAUAUUGAUCUAUACAGGGCACAAACUAACUAAUGUUGGAUAAUAAUGGUUAGCCAAUUAUAAAUUUCAGUCCCUCAAGUUGACUCACAAUUUUUAAUAUUAUCAGAAUCAGCGAAAAUGACAUAUCGCCUCACAGCUUGUAACGUGUAAGAAUUGAAUUUGAACUAUUUUUGCUUAUUGGAGAAGAAAAUUUACAUGGAGUUGGCUUUUCUGUGGUUGCUAUAAUAAUGCGUGUGUGUGUGUAAUCUAGAUACCUAUUAUACAGUGUUGUUGGCUUAACGACUAUGAUGCUAUUUAUAAAAAAAAAUUAAAUUAAAUUAAAUUACGUCACGGGAUGGAGUUAGGACUAAAAUUUUGGAGGGCCCAAAACUUUUUAAAAACUUUUAAAAAACAAAAUUUUGGUAGUUGAAGUUGAAAAAUUUUAAACUGAUAAAAUGUUAAUUUUAUCGGAACGAAAUUAUGAAAAAUUAUAUUUUAAAAAUUAAAAUUAUUAAUAUCUUAUACAUAUUUAUGUAAUUUUUUAUUAUUUUUAGAAAAUGAGACUGUUCCCACAAUAAGCACUGAACGGUGCGUUUAGGGUGUGGUAUAAAAUGACCCAUCUCACGUGACACACACAUACCCGCCACAACACACGCGCAAUAAAUCUCACGCGACACACAUCGUUUCUCCAUUUGCUUUCUCUACUCUCAUAGAAAUCUCACCGUUUCUCCAUCUGCUCAUCCUCUCGCUUUCUCUUGCCGUGUGCCUCUCUUUGUUCCCCGUCCUCUCGCUUUCUCUCGCAAUAGGUCUCUCGCCGUGGGUUUCUCCAUCUGCUCUCUCUCUCUCUUCUCUGUCCUCUCUAUUCUCUUGCCGUCGAUUCCCCCUCCGUUCUCACUGUCGAUUGCAUCUCUCAGCUUGCUUUAGCUUUACUCUCUCAACUUCAGUGGUCAUUAGCUGACGUAGUCGAUUUCCGUGAGUUGAUUAUGAAUUUUUGAAAAUCCAACUGAUAUUGUGAGCAAAUGAGACAGUUUUAAUUGCACUUGGAUUGAUGUGCAAAUUAGUUUAGAUAGGUUUGAUUUGUAAUUGCAUUUUCGAUAGUCUUAGGAGAUGGCCUUGUGCCGGAGAUGGCACCAUGAUCACUAUAACUGGAGCUUGUUUUAUGCCAUUAUAGUUUUGGUAAAAUACCAAUCCAGAUGAAAUUGUUGCUGUAUUUUGUCAUAAUCCAAAUCCUAAAUGAUAUAGCAGCUGCUGCUACGAGCUUCCGUUAUUUGAUAAAUUUAUGGGAUUGCCCUUGAUGACAUUAAAAACCUAACAACUGAUUCUAUAAUCUGAGAAUGAAACAUAUUUGCAGCGUGUUCUAUAAUGUGCAAGGCUUAUUCUGAUGAUAAUCUUAAAAGGAAACUUAUUUGAAUAGAACAUGUUGUGAAUAUGAACAAGCAAAAUGGCUUGGGAGAAUUAGCUGCUGAGAUUUCUAGCUUGAGUGAGGAGUGGAUUUGGUGUGAAUGAGAGUGAGAGUGAUGGAGAAUGCGUGUGUGAGAUCUAAUGCGUGUGUGAGAUUUAAUGCGUGUGUGAGAUCUAAUGCGCGUGUAUUGUGUUUGUGUGUUCAAAUAGUAGCCUUUUAUAUUGCACACAAAACGCACCGUUCGGUGCUUAUUGGGGGCUGAAUAUGGGUAAUUUUUAAAAAGAAUUAUUAGCUAUUUUACACUUUUUAAAUUAUUGAUAUUUUCUUAAAGUUCCUAUAAAAAAGUUAAAAUUAAAAAAUUAAAAAAUCCUCUUUAAAUUAUUGAUAUUUCCUUAAAAUUCCUACAAGAAAGAUAAAAUUAAAAAUUUAAAAAUGAAAUAGUCAUAAUCUUUACCUAUGAUAUUGUAAAUUUUUAGAAUUGACAAGGAUAAAAUUGUCAAAAAAUAGGGUUUGUGCUUUUUGCACCAAUAAUUUUGGUUUUUUUUUAGUUAUUUUCGUUUACAAACUAUUGUUAAGGGUAAUAUUGUCUUUGCAUGGUUAACUAACGGUCAAUGUUAAACUUAACUGACGGUAGGAGGUUUUUUACAAAUAAAUCAAUUCUCGCCAUCUACUUGCAACAAGCCCAUACCUCAGGGGAGGUUUUAAAAAAUUAUCCGGCUGAAUAUCGGUGCUGAUUAAUUUUUUCGAAGUCUCAGACUCAGAGGGAGAUCAGCCCCUGAUUACAUAAUGCAUCCAAUUACCAAUUUUUUUCGCGAUCAGAGUAGAAGCCGUCAAACUGAUAAGUUAAAAAGGUUGCUUUAGAAAGCGACGAGCCAUUCAAAGUUUGAACAUCAACAUCAAACCCACUAACCCAGCGAAGUUAUUGUGUGUAGGAGUCGGCCGAAAAAUGGAAGACAGAGGAGAUGCAUAAUCGCCGUCGAUCAAGAAAAUGAAUAUACAAUCAUGAUCAUCAUCAGAAUCACAAAAUAUGGAAAUGUAUCAUAAUCUCAGAAGUAAGAACCAUAAUGUCAUUCAAUGAAUCAAUUCAGUACUCAUCUCCUCAAUUUUUUUUUUAAAUUUUUAAAAAACACGAAAUUGCUUCCCAGAUUUUCAGACACAGAAGAUGCAGGGCCUUGCAAAAUCAAAGUUUUACUCAGUAUCAAACAUUAUUACAAAAAAUAAAAUAAAAAAAGAUUAUUAAUAACAUACAUGUCUAGACAACAAGGGUACCAUCUCGGCCUAGUGCCUUCCAUCAGUCAUCAGACACAAGCAAUGAAAAGAAAAUGAAUUAAAAACAAAAAAAAAAAAAAAAAUCAGCCGUGAUUAGACGCUAAUUAAAGUUGAGAGCUUGAUCAAGAAUCAAGACUCAGAGGCCGCAUCUGAACUGUAGCCACUAGGAGUUUCAGCUGGGGUUGAUGAGCUUGAGCUAAGCCCACCACCACCACCAAGUCCAUUUCUCCUUCUCUUUCCUCCAGCUGAUCCGAGCAAAUCCUUCAAUAUUUUCUUCAAAACUUGGCCUCUUUUUGGUGGCAGGCGAAGGUUUUGGUUCUUCGUGAGCUUAUAUGCUUCGUACUCCAUUUUCUUGAAAUGGGUAUACUUCAAUUUCAAUUCGAGAGAUGUUUGAUGAUAAGUGAUUUGCGAUAUACUGAAUUGGCGAGAAGGGAAGAUUUAUAGCGAACUCAGUUACUUACUUGCUAAGUAUUUUGCAAUGCAGAUUUGAGUGAGUGGUAGUAGUACCACUGAAUCAUUGACUCAAGACUCAAAGAGGUAAUGAUUCCAUGGUCUUGGGACCAUUGUAUCCGAGGUACAAGAGCUUAACUUACAAAAAAAGAAAAUUGAAACUUGAAAGUUCCAAUUAUGUAUGUGUCGGAGAAAAGUCUAAAUUAUUAUGAAAUUAUUAUUUUACUUAAGGAUCCAGCUAUGGUGCCACAGUUGUAUGUUACCGGUUUCAUAUAUAUGAUAAUUUAUAGUAUGCUAAAAAUAUCUUUUAAAAAAAAUAGAAAUAUGGUGCUAAUUAAAAUUAAGACCUAAAUAAAAAUAAAUAAAAAUAUUUGGAAUUGAAACUCGAAGUAGUACUCUGGGAAGUCAUCAGCCCAUUGAUUUAACGGCCAUGACAAUGAUUUCUCUCUCUCUCUUUUUUAUUUUUUUUAAUUGGAAUGUGAUCUCCACCUAUAAUAGUUGAAGUGGAUUCACUAAAUCUCCCAUAAAAAUUUUCAUGUAACUCAUUAGACUUUAAUAUUUGAAGCCAUUUAUUCUUCUUUUAGUCUUAAAAAAUACGUAAAGAAUGUAUUAUGUAUUUUUGUUAUUAGACAUUGCUUAAUUAAGACUUGAGUCUUAUACUUCAUCUUAAAUAAUGUAUUUGAUCCUAUGUAAUCUUGUAGUUGCACUCAUCGUGGUGAUGUAUUUAUUAUUGAGUAUUGACCUUUUUUUAAUGAACCUCGUUUUAAAAUAAUAACUUGUCUUCUAGAAAGAUGCACCAUUGUGCAGGCAACAGAACCACGUGGCGCACGCAUACAAAGGUUCUACACUAUUUGUUAAAAGUAAAAAUAAUUAAAAUGUUUUGCUACAUUUUAUCUUCAGUUUACAUCAGUCAAUUAUUGCUUUGUGGCUUGUGCUAACAGCAAAAAAAUUGAUUUUUUUUUUUUAACAUAAACACUAAUUGUACAUCGAACCCAAAACAGAAUUUAACUCAUUUUGGAUGAAUAUGAUACCCCAUUAAGCUGCGCUUGCCAAUUUGUUCGCCUUUGGGAUAGAAAAUUCGAAACCGACAGCUUAAUUUAUUUGCUCGUGAUUUCAAAUAAAAAGCACAAAGUGGCGAGAUCAUCUCAAAGUUUUGAUGCGAAUCAAAACCGGAUUACUGAAACGACAACGUAUAAGUCUCAUUGAUGUUUCAAGUUAGUCAUGUGCUUCUCAUGUGACCUCCUAAUUGAUUCCACGAGCAACAAAACGGCAUAGCAUUUUCGCGUUUUGGUGGUUCAUUCAGCGAGGCAUGUGGAAAGCGCGUGAGCAGCUUAAGCAAAGGUUCUUACGACCGUUAAUGUACGUGGCAGCUUUCUGUGCAAUCCGGGAAUGCAAGUUGCGGCUGAAUUGUUUAUUAAUUGAGUUUCUCGUUAGAUUGUUUGAGUCGAUUCAUUAUUCUUAUUCAGAUGCACUUUAAUUUGCAUCUUGGGAAGUAGCUUGCAUGGUUUUGUUUCUCUUUGUCACCCAAGUUACUGCAAUUAUGUUUAGGCCAGUGCUACGUUAUAAUUAACGUAGCGUACGCCCACACACAACAAUAGUAUUGGUUCCUAUCAAUAGACACUGUUGCUGUGUGUGGGUGUACGUUAUCGUAACAUAGGGGGCUUCUUAUAUUUAACACCAUAAAAUCAGAGCACAAGGAGAUAAGGAAAGAAUUGAAGAAAUGUUACCAAUUUUCAUGUGCAUUUUACAUUUGGCACCUCAUGAUUUUAUUUAAUUUUUACAACUUAAUUUUAUUGAUCCUCCAUUGUGAUCCCCACGGUUGGCUGGCCUCUCUCAAUUUUACAGGUUUUAUAUUAUAACCUAAUAAAUUAAUGAUUUUUCCAUCAAAGUCCCCAUCGACCAAAAUCGAGACUCUGCCACUACACGUGUUUAAUUCCACAGUCAUCGCCUCCAAAUGUAAAAACACACCAUUACCAUAUUGCUAAGAGAGAAUAUGACGAGCAAGAUGCGCAAAAGAAGAUUAAUAAUGUUAAUUACAUAAUUGCCAAAAUCUUUGAAAAAUUAAAAAUUGUAUACAUUACAAACAAAAUCAAAAAACAAAAAACACAGUAAUAAUACACAGGCCUAAACAUGGGUAUCCAUCUCCCAAAAAUCCUAUCUUUUAACCAUCAAACCCCAUCCUUCCAUAAUCAUCUUCAAGAAAAAGAAAAUAUCGAAGAACAAAAUGUAAAAAAAAAAAUGGAAAAAAGAAAAGUUGAGCCAUAAUUAGCCUAUAAUUAAAGUUAAUAGCUUAAUCAAGAUUCAAGACUCACAGACUCAAAGGAAGCAUCUGAAUUGUGGCCACUAGGAGUUUCAGCUGGGGUUGAUGCGCUUAAGCUACUAAGCCCACCACUAGAAGCUUCAGAUAUGGGGAUUACUCAAGAAUGAACCCCUCCCCGAACCCGCUUGGGUUUGUCCCCACGAUCAGACCCGAAAUUACUUUGAAGCGUUUGGAGAGGGUAGUACCCGACCGGAAUGAGCCGGACCCCCACGAGUUCCGGUCCCGUGGAGAUUUUUACUGUCCCUACUGACAAGUCCAUCUCCUUUCUUCUUUCCUCCAGCUGAUCCGAACAAGUACUUCAAUAUUUGCUUCAGAACUUGGCCUCUUUUCGGUGGCAGGCGGUGGUUUUGCUUCUUGCUGAGCUUAAAUGCUUCGUGUUCCAUUUGCUUGAAAUGGGUAUGUUUUCUUGAAUUUUAAUGUAAAGAGGAAAAAACAGAGGAGAAACAGAGCAAGAGAAGACAGAGAGGGGGAGAGAGAAGAUGAACUUUUCUUAACUGGGUUGUUUGCUUGCUUUUGCUAUUCUUUGAUUGAUUUGGUGAUAAGUGAGAGUGAAGUAGGGAUUGGUUUAUUUUUAGAGAGCUCAGUAGCUUGCUACGCAAGUAUCUCACUGUAGCUUUAACCGUGCUUUGAAAGCUUUGGUAUGUUUUUCCAAUUUUGCUCAUAAAAUUUAGCCGAUUUUGCUCUAAAAUUGUGUUAUACUGCAUCUAAUUUAAAAAAAAAUUACAUAUUUACAUGGUUCAACUUUCAACUUUCUAAGUUAAGGAGGAGAAAAAGAAAAAGAUAACUCCAAACCUAUAUUAUUUCCACUUAAUAAUUCAUAUAUUUUGAUUGAAUUAGUUGGCAAUUCGCAAUGUCAUUUUUAAAUUAUUUACUACUGUGUUUUAACUUUGAGCAAAGGGUUUUUAUAGGAUUUUCUUGGCGAGCUAACUGCUGUACUCUUAAGAAACAAACUAAAAAUACUUAGAAAGAUGCUCAGAAUAGAAAUUAAUUUUUUGUUAAAAAAAUUAAGGAUGUUUAAAAUAUAAUUUAAGAUUCAUUAUAGUAAUAAUUAAAGGUGUAGUAAAUACGUAUACUCAAUCCUGAACAGAGUCCAAUCGACGCGAAUGAAGAUGGACUCAUUGAGUCAGUGAUUCCAUGGUCAUGGGACCAUCACGGUUCACUGAAUCUAAGGGUGAAGAGGACGGGAAUAAAUCUGGACUAGAGAAGUAACACCAAACUUUUGCGGAUCACCUUCAUCAGGCAGGAGUCGGGAUCACGUGGUCCAUGUUCAAACUUCGUACGGAUGACUAUGUUUUGCAAUUUGUGCUCAUUCUUUGCUUUAUGGUGUCGAUGAAUAGAUUAAUAAUUCUUGGUUAGUUGAAAAUUAAUUUUUCAGUGAAAGUAGUUCCGUAAAUUUGAUUUAAUAUACAGAUUUGUAAUCAAACACCUCUUAACAGUUUUUACACUUUGGAUUAUAAUAAUAGAUAUUUUUAUGUGCAUGACUUGUACAAAUUUCAUACUUGGCUUUCGCAUCAACAAAAACAAUCAAACUAAGACACAUUUGGCCUGUGGCAGGACAAUUCAAUACAAUAAGUCUUCGUGUUUUCCGAAACAAAAACAAAAAAAAAUAAAUUUUGAGCUGUGUGAGUGAAUAAGUCCAAUGACCAAUCUCCAAAAAGCAUACAUGCUUCUUUUGAUCUCACGUAAAGCAUCGACUUGAAUUGAAAUAUCACCCUUUUCGGCCAAAAUUCAGAAGUUUGACUCUGACUGAAUUUAUGUGGCUUAAACCGACCAUGGGCCGCCAGCUUGCUGCUGAUUGGGAAUGAGAGGGAAUGCUCUUAGCCACGUAGUGUAAAAAGGUCGCUUUGGGGGUUUCUCAGCGGCCCACAUAGUGUGAAAGGUCGAGUUUGGGCCCUUUUUUUUGUUGGUUUCUUCUAAGUCUUCUUCAGCCGUUACUAUAGAAUAAGAACUGUCGCUAGGAGUUGCCCAUUCAAUCAGUUCUGAAAUCUUUAGGACAAUGUGACAAUGGAAUCUUGAAAAAGCAAUGGGAAUGAGAACGCGGAUACAACUGCCUCGUUGUUUCUAAGACUUCUGCGCCUUUUUCUUUGCCGAAUCACUUGCCACAUGAAUUGGAAUCUCAGGAAAAUGGAAAUUAUGCAGUCCCAAAAAUAAUCAAACUCACCUCUUCACCACGGGACUUGGGGUAAAAGUGAGCUAAUCAAUGACCUAUAUACUGAUGCAUAAGAUGCUAAAUUAGAAUUUGCAAUAUAAUUUUUCUCUAUUAAUUGCUAAAUGAAAGAACAUUGAUGAGACAUAGAAACAAGUUGUUUGAUUAUCCUUGGCCCUCCAAGGGUAUGUUCUAGUACGAGUAAGCAUAAUGUUACGAGCCGUUCAAAUUUGUCACCAACAAAGGCAAACUUCGCGCGCAUGGGUACAUUUAGUAAAAGUCUCCCUACUAACGGGAUGCGCUCCGCAAAACAAUAGAACGUACUUAACAACGUGGUACACUCAACACUGGGCCAUUGUAUACAACUAGCUAGCCAUGGUACGCCCAACUCGAAAUCUAGAAUUCUCUAUAAUUUGCAAAUAGCUAAAAUUCUCUCGACUUUUGCAUUUAAGUCCUAAGAAGAUAUUUAUGCAAGUUGCUAGGAAGCUUUAUGAGCUUGGCAUCCAAGCCUAUAAAUACCCCAUGGCACUUGCCAUUUUUUAUCUCCACACCAAGCACAUUUCAGUACACACACAAGCUCUCAAGCUCUUGCAAAAAGUUAUCUUGUAUUUUUUUCAUUUGUGAGUAAAAAAAUUAUAUUUGGUUAUAUUACUCUCUCUUCUCUCUAGCAUUGUCGCAAACAUCUUUACUUGGCUAGUUUGAGAAGAUAAUUAGGGUUACUUAGCAACUUUUAUGCUAUAAUUUGUCUAAAUGCCGCACAGGUUUAUUGUGCGCAAUACUCAUCUUGUGACAAUAAGUUUAAUUAGUGCAUGACCACCAUAACUGUUUGUAUUAUCAAAGCAAUCAAAAAUCUCCUUGGUAUAGCUUGAAGAUGAUUUGAUUUAAACUACUAACACAAUGGUUGAGUAACAUUCUUAAUUAAUUGGAAAAAAAAUACGUUCAAUGUCUUCUCCAGCCAUAUAUCAUAGCAUGAAGAUCUGUUGCCUCUUAACAUUUGUGAAAGAAGAAUAUGUUAUCUUACUAUUAUACCUAUGCUGGGGAAAUAUAUUUUUUAUGCCCCUACUAUUUCUGAAAUAAAACUAACUUAAACUUAUCCUAAAGAUGUUGUCAAAACUUGCUGAUGAACUUCACAUCCUAAUUUAAAGUAAUGGUCUUUAGAACAUUAUGCAAGCGCACUACCUCAAGAAAGAACAAAUGUGUAACUAAGGCAGCAUCUUCGGUCUUCUUACAUAUGAUAAAAUGUGUCAUAUUAAAAAAUCUAUCGACCAUAACCAGUAUAGAAGUGAACUUCUAUACAAGUGAACUUCUAUAUAUAACUCACUCAUCUCACAUGUAUCUUUUACAGAUUUUACUGGCUAUUAAAGUACUUCAAGGCUUGAUGAUCACUGUAAAUCAUGAACUCCUUUUGAACCAGGUAAUAUUCUUAUGUCUUCAAUGUCAUAAAGAUAACAUAAAAUGCUUGGUCAUAAAUAGACCACUUCUAUCGUGCUUCAUUUAACUUCUCACUCAUGUAUUUAAUUGGCCGUUCCUCUUAGAAAAGAACAAUCCUAAUACCCUAAUAUCUUUACUAGAAGCAUCACACUCGACUUCAAACAACUUGUCAAAGUUUGGUAAGGCUAGUACAAGAGUAGUAGACGAAUUUUCCUUUAGUAAAGCAAAACUUGUUAAAUUAGCAUUAAGUCAAAAUGAAACAUAAAAUGGUGGAAAUUUAGCAUAAGAUUUGCAAAUGAAAAGUAAAACAAAUAUACUAAGUUGAUGUAUUACUAAUAAACAAAACAUGAACUUACAAAUAUAACACAAAACUCGUAAAUCAACAUUAAGAGCAAAAUAAAACAUAGAUUUUAGAAUUAAAGAAAUAAUAGGUAGAAAGAAAUAUAUUAUUCUAAAUUUGUACAGUUUACUUUAGCUAGAUAGAAGUGAUAGGUAGGAAAAAAAAUGGAUUGAUUAUGAAUGCAAGUAAUUUGUUAAAAAAAAUUCUUCAGUGUGUUUAAUUCUUAUUUUUUCUCCAAUGUAAUUUUAUUUAAAGCGAAGUUUUAUAAGAAUAAUAAAGAGAUGCUGCUAACUUCGCUCUAAAUACAAAGGAUCGAAAAUUCACACACACGGUCCAAUGCCAUAGGUCGGCCUUUCUAGGGCCCAAUUUCUUGUAUUCGUGAAGGAAUCUUUAUAAAAUCACUUCUAUUAGUUUUAUUUAUGUUCACCCUUGUCCGUUUUGCCCCGGGUCCUUAGAUGGGAUUAUUUUGUAUUUACAAAUGAUAAUAGAUGAGUGACGCUAAUGGCACUCUCUUUUCUUAUAAAAUUCCUAAUUUCCUAUUGUUUUGUAAUUAUCAUUUUAUCCUCUAUAUCUUAGACUGUAUAUUGUAUUAAAAACUCAUCUAAUUCACUCAAUCUCUUUCUUUAUUGCAAACUCUUUAAAUUGAAAAACUUAAAAAAAAAAGGUCUAUUCAAAGAGUAAAAAUUUGAUUUAAACAAGUUUUAUUCACUUAUCUACAAUUUAUUUUUGUAAAAAAAAUAAAUUUGUGAACUUUUCAUAGAUUAUUAAUAUAGGUAUGUUAGGAGACAAAUAAUUUUUUUUGUCUAUCUUAUUUUCUUUGCAAAAUAGAAUGAGAGAGAGAGAUGCUCAUUUGGAAUUUCUGAGAAAGAAGCAUGAAGAUUCAAGAUGGGAUUUAUUAAAGAAGAAUAACAAAAAAAAAAAAAAAGUUAUUUUUGAAAGUUGGAAGGGGUUGGAAUGGGAGACACAGUCACUCAAUAAAAGUCUUUCUUGGAAUAUGAGUUUAAAUACAAAAGGGCGUUGAAAAGAAUAAUAUUAGCACCGUGUAUUACAGGUCGGACACGUGUAGGACACCUGCCAAGCCCAUGUCAAUCCGACGCCUGGCAGUUUUUUGAAUAUUAGAUCAACCAGUUUGACUAAAAAGCCUCGGCUCUUUCAAACUUUCAAGGCGAACACGAACGAACCCCACACAUAUCUCAGUGGAAGGAAAAAUAAAAAGGUAAAAGCAAAAAUAAUAGUCACCAAUUCACCAUACUUAUCAUCUCCGGUCAGGUCUUUGUACGGUCAGUUUUUUGAAGCUGAUAAUAAAAAAACUAAUCUGAGUCAUCGCAUUGGUCAACUUAAAAACGCAAAUAAUUCUUCGUUCAAAUUUCGAAAGCCAACAUCAGAAAAUUAAAAGCAGAGCCAAACGGCAACUUGCUACAGACAGCAAAAGAGAGAGGACAGAGGCUUUACUUAAAAACGCGAGAACUCUUAUCUUCUUUCUCAUUCGUCUUCGGCUUAAAAGUUGGUUUUUUUAAAAAAAAAAUGGAGAACGAAUCGAUGGUGAUGAAAGACAGAGGGAUUCCACUGUACGGUGGCAAAUACGUACAGUACAAUAUUCUAGGAAACCUCUUUCAGGUCUCCUCUAAGUAUGUUCCUCCUCUUCAGCCUAUUGGUCGCGGCGCAUACGGCAUCGUUUGGUAUAAUUUUUUUUCAAUCUUUCUUUUUUCUUUUUUUAGCUUUUGGAAGUAAAUUAUGUCGAGAAUUUAGGCUGCUUAAUUUCCUGCAACUUAAAAGGAGUGUUUGAUUCGGUAUCGGACAAGUUCUGGUUUUGCUUUUUUUUUUUUAAAGUAACCAUUUAAAUUAUCUUAAAAUAUGAAAUAAAUAUUUAAAAACAAUUCGCUGUUUUCUACUACAGUUUUGUUCAUAGUACAUGAAGAAAAGCUAAAAUGAUAUUCAAAUUUUAAAAAAAAAGUAUUUUUCUUACAAAGAAGAUUCUAGAAUCUCUCUAUUUAAUUAUAUUUUUAUUGUUUGGGCAUGUUGGGUCUUGCUUUUUUAAGCUGAGGAUUUAUAAUUUCAGUUUAAUUUAUUUUUGUAUUAAUUGUGUAUUUAAUGAUGAUUUGGUUAUUACUUAUUAAUGUAAUUAAUGUUUUUUCUAUGUAAGAAUUGAUGCAAUUUUCUGAUGAAAAAUUGAACUUUGUUAAUGUAAUGCAGUAGUGCUGUAAAUUCAGAGACAAAAGAAGAGGUUGCAAUAAAGAAAAUUACGAAUGCAUUCGAUAACAGGAUUGAUGCCAAGAGGAUCCUCCGUGAGAUCAAACUCCUCUGUCACAUGACUCAUGAGAAUGUAUUUACUUCUGUAAACUUAUAGGCUUGUUUACUGUCCUGUGUUUUUCUAGCAUUAUUACUCUACUUUCACUUGCAAAUCCCUGCUUCUGAUCAAAAGAUGUUUUCCUAGAAUUGCCUAUAUAUAUGUGUCUGUAUUAAUGAUCUAGUGGGCGAUGUUGCUCAUGUUAUGGUGAGCCACGCUGCUAUGUGGUGUGCUCUAGUUAUCUAUAGCUUCAACUCUAUCUUUAAGGUGUUACAGAAUCAUGUCAUGUUUGCAGUUGCUCAAUAGAUCAUUUUUCUGUGUAUACAUAUCCACACACAACAAAUGAUCUGGUAAGUGCAGUUCUAUAAUGCCUUGUGAAUGGUGUUGAAGUUGUUUAAUCUGACAGGCCAACAUGACAGUGUUGCUCACUAUAACGUGAGCAACGUCACCUAUUAGAUCAUUACUCUCUCUCUCUAUAUAUAAGAGUUCUAAAGUGUAGACAUCUAUUAAAAUUCAAAUCAACAAUCAGAGAGUUGCUAGAAGACAAAAAAAUUUCAACGCCAAUUAAUUAUUAAUUAGGCAAUUUCUUAACAUAGAGUUGAACAAAGUUUUGUUUCUUCAGCAAUACUCUUUACAACAAGUUGGUUUGGAUUUUAAGAAAAGUAGGCACCACUAGGCAACACAGGAAAGGAAUAUGUAUAUAUGUAUAUUUUCAUUUCAGUAAUGCGUUAGUAAUGUGCAUGGUGUUCUUGUGGAGCUUUUGCAGACUAAUUGUAACAUUUGCCAAAAGGAGUAUUGUACAUAAUAUCCAUCUAUGACCAUUUGUUUUAUUUUUUCAAUGAUGUGAAUGGGAGAAGAUCAAGACAUUAGUUUUGUGCAGAUUGUCAAGGUGAAGGACAUAAUACCACCGAUGGAUAAGGAAAAGUUCAAUGACGUUUAUAUUGUAUAUGAGUUGAUGGAUACUGAUCUGCAUCAGAUAAUACGCUCCAAACAGGCUCUGACUGAUGAUCAUUGUCAGGUAAAUAAGUUGGAUCCUUUUUCUUCUGUUAUAGUAGUGGUUUAUACUGUCAAAUGAGUAUAUACAUCGCAAGCUUUUAUUGCGUUGGGUGAGAAAAGUUUUAUGAACAGUGGGUUUAUGCUCUUGUUUUAUCGAAUUAGGAGCUGGCUGGCAAAUAUCUUGUAUCUGUUAAUCUGCUGCAACUUUCCUUGUGUUGUCCUUAUUAUUCAGAUGUGUGCUCUUACCUUAGUAUGCUCGAAAUGAAGAAAUGUUUGCUAUAUAUGUUAACAACAUCACCUAAAGCCUGAAGGGAACAAUUCCAUCCUUCACUAGCAUGCCAAAUGGUUGUUUUUUCCUGAAUGGGCUCCUCAAAGCUGAGAAGACUGUUUUGUGAAUUAAGAUUCUUCCUAGAGAAGAUUAAGAAAUAAGAAUGCUUUUGCCUGACCCAUAUCCCCAGGAGGAUCCAAGCAAAACUUCUUGGAGAAUUAAACCUAUUUAUUGAACCCUGUUGCUCUACCCAUUUUGAAGUGUUCCUUCUGUGCUUGUCAAUUUGUUUCUCUACGAGUGUAGUUCAGUACAGUAUAAUGGAAUAUUUUCUCAAGCUGGUUUCUACUAGAUGAAACUUACUUAUAACAGAGGUACUCAUUGUUCAAUGGCUUCUGCAGUAUUUCCUAUACCAAUUGCUGCGGGGACUGAAGUACAUACACUCUGCUAAUGUUUUGCACCGAGAUUUAAAACCAAGCAACCUGCUGCUCAAUGCAAACUGUGAUCUUAAGAUUUGUGACUUUGGACUAGCAAGAACCACUUCAGAGACAGAUUUCAUGACGGAGUAUGUUGUAACCCGAUGGUAUCGAGCCCCUGAAUUGCUGCUUAACUGUUCAGAAUAUACUGCAGCUAUUGAUAUUUGGUCGGUUGGUUGCAUUUUCAUGGAGAUUAUGCAAAGGGAUACUCUUUUUCCUGGUAAAGACUACGUUCAACAGUUGACAAUGAUAACUGAGGUGCUCAUCCUUUCUCAUUAUUCUCCUAUUGGCUUUUGAAACUACAUUUGAAUUGCAUAAUUAGGUAAUGGAUAUAAUGAAUAAAAAUUCUUGUUUGGCUUUUACCAAAAAUAGCUAUUAGGUUCACCGGAUGAUUCAGAUCUUGGAUUCCUAAGAAGUGAUAAUGCCCGGAGAUAUGUUAAGCAGCUUCCACAUGUCCCCAAGCAACCCUUUUCUCAGAAGUUCCCCAAUAUGUCUCCCGUGGCAAUUGACCUUGCAGAGAGAAUGCUAGUGUUCGAUCCGGCCAAACGCAUAACAGGUAUGCUCCUUGUAUAACACAUUCACACCUGACCAAUUUAUUUUUCACUUUCUUUUUACUGACAAGAAACAUCUCUAUUUUUGUGAUGCAUGUGAAGUGGAGGAAGCAUUAAACCAUCCAUAUCUAUCAAGUCUUCAUGAGAUCAAUGAGGAGCCUACCUGUCCGUAUCCUUUCAACUUUGAUUUUGAACAGACAUCCAUGAAUGAAGAAGAUAUAAAGGAGCUCAUAUUGAGAGAGUGUUUGAACUUCAACCCAGAUCACAUGCUCGAGUAAUCUUUGACCUUUGUUUCUGUUGAUCGGUUCAUUUGAGUGAUGUCAAGGUUGAUUAUGGUUUGCAAAGCUAGCAUGUAUGUCGUAUGCAAUUAGGGAACUCUGCAUAAGCAGAAAAUUUGGGAGAUAGGUUCUCCCUUCUGAUUUUAGUAGGGUGGAAUGGCUUUAUGGCAGUAUAUCAUAUAAUACAAGUUACCGGAUUAGUUAAUUUCGACAGUGAAGUUCCCAGUUGGGGUUUGUAAUUUGGGAUUUAUAAAAGAAGGCCGUUUGCUCCUAGCCUCCUUUGGUUUGGGAUGUGUUUGUAUAGUGUAAAUUAAAUUUUAUCAAAACAGAAGAAGAAAGUAUUAAUCUGAGAUAGAAUACAUGACUGGCAACAAUGUACUGAUUUUAAUUUCUUGGUUGUAAGUUUUAGACUCUGUAAUGCCUAAUUAGUCUGUGUUAGCAGGCAACUUAAGUGAAAUGUUUAUGAGAUUUCUAUUGUUCUAUUUUUCUAGUGCCGUCUAAUUCUUGAAUUUUGUCCUGGCAAUCCGUAACAAGCACUACCAGAUCGCUAAAUUGUUUUUCUCCCAAUUUAUCUGAGGGAGCUAAUCAGGUGCGCACGGUCACAUGGGGUGCACGGUAAGGUUUGGAGUAUAGAGCUAUGUUGUGGGGUCACUGCUCCUUAGUUUCGAUCUUGAUAGGUGCCUAAUUACACUGGUAUAAGGUUUACGAUUGUGACAGUUAAUUAUAUUUAUUUAAUAGAGAUUGUUACGUUACAUAAUUAUAUAAUAUACAUAAUUAUAUAGUAAUCGUUGAAUUUUUAUUAAUCAACUGUUAUAUGAUUAUAAUCAUAUAAUGUUAUAUAAUUAUGUAAUAUAAUAAAAGUCUUAUUUAUAUAAAAACUUUCAAGUUAUUUAUAUUUUAUUGGAUAUGGAAUUUCACCCACCAGUUACAUGUACGGGUCCACCCAUUUGAGUUAAAUAAAACUUGCGAACUUCUGCAAAAUUGAGUUGAGAAGUAUGCAUACGCUCUAUAAAUACGUCCAAGAAGUAAGGAGUUAUAUUUAUUAAUUUGUCAGUCAUCAUAAGCAUACACAAAGCAGCGAAAGAGAAGAAAUAAUGAGGCUCUCAAUUCUCGCAGUCGCCAAAGCUCUGCAGAGCCAAAACAAAAAGAAGCUAUCACCACUUCUAUUCUCAUUCUCCACAGCUUCUCGAUCAUUCUCACAGCUGAGCUCACAAUCUCAACGGUGCGUUUUGAGCUCCUACUUUUACUAAUAAAUAAAAAAAAAUUUCGUCAAACUUAUUACAUACGAAUUUUCAUUUCCUCACUAUUUAUUUAUGAUGAUCGUUGACUGAUUGACAGGCCUUCGUUUGGCAUUGCUUUCGACAUAGACGGUGUCGUUCUUUUAGGAAACACUCCCAUUGGUGGCUCUAAUAAAGCUCUCAAAAGGCUGUACCAACAUUCCGGUAUACACAAACUCCAAAAAUGCAAUUUUGUUUGAGAAUAAAUUUAUAGAAUUUUUAUUUAUUUAUUUACUUUCGUCUUAUGGACAGGUGAUUUGAGGAUCCCUUACAUUUUCUUGACCAAUGGUGAGUCAUUUUCUUGAUGAUGAUGAUUAACAUGGCAUUUUAGAUUACCUGAUAGUUGCUAGUGCACAUGUUCAUUGAACUUAUCUAGUACGCUUAGUUUAUCUAGUGCACAUGCAUGUUUGCGUAUAUUUUGGAAGCAAGCAGCUAUAGUGUUUUUUUUUUUUUUAACGCGCCCGCUUUUACUUUGCAAUAGCUAUGGAUGGCUUUGCAUUACUGAUAUAGAAAUAGAGGAAUAUGUUUUUAUUCCAGAUAGAUAUUUAUGCACAUUGAGAUGGAUUUUUUGUGGGAAAUUUUGCUAUGAAGUUUGCUUCUUGGUGAUUGAAGUUAUGAAUAAUAUUAGAGAUAUUACUUAUUAUUAGUUGGCUAAUCUGCAGUUGAUUCUGACUUCAACAGGAGGUGGUUUUCGUGAAUCUAAAAGAGCCACUGAGUUAAGCAAACUUCUGGGUGUGAAUAUUCUACCUUGUCAGGUAAUGCUGCAACAAUUCUUAAAACCUUUAACCUGUGUUUACUUUAUGAUUUUUUUUUUCCUUUUAUUCUAUAGCAAUUUGUUAUCAAUUAUUUCAGUGUCAAACUAACAGACUUUGAUGAAAACUUCUAUUUCUUUUUCCUGGUUAUUGUGCAUAGCAUUCUUUUACUUUUAUUAGCUUUUUAAAAUGUGAUUCCACACAGGUAGUACAAGGCCAUUCACCUUUUAAACAGCUCUUUAAUAGGUAAGGUACAGGUAUGAUUUGUAGCUAGUUUAUGUAUUGAUAUUGAUGUGCAUAUUUAUGCUGAAGUAGAGGAUCCUAAAGUAUUGAGUAGAAUAAUGAGCAUAAAUGACAUUAAUUUUAUCUUUAACGUCAUUGUGUUGAAAAUAAAGACUAUAAUAUAUGGGCAUUUGUAAAGCUAUUAAUCUCUCUCUUUUUUCUUUAUUCCAUGUUAUUCGUUCUAAACUUCCACUAAAGCAGAGAAUCAUUAUGCCUUCCCCGUUGAAUCUUGUCAAAUCAAAUCAACAUAAGCUGUAUCUUUAUGGUCAAUAUGGUUGAUGGCAGAUCUAAAUGUACUUUUUUUCCACACAGAGAGAAUCACUUGUGGUAGUUCGCAACUCUGAUCAAUGGAGAUGAAUGAAAGGCUAAUUAACUUAGCAGUUCAGUCUCAGAGUAAGAUAGAUAAAUCAUUUCUAAUUUUUCAGUGAAGCUACAUGCGUCCUGCCGGAGUUGAAAUGAGGAGAAAUUUAUUCAUCGUUAGAGAGAUCUGAAUUAAAAUAACACAUAAAUCUGUAGGAUUGUGGAAGUUUUUUUCUAGUCCAAUUAUCUUUGCAGUGAUAACACUUUUGAAUUGUGCAGAUUUGAGAACGAAUUCAUUGUUGCCGUUGGUAAAGGUGAACCUGCUGCGGUAAUGGCUGAUUAUGGAUUUAAGUAGGCUCUUGGUUUCUUUUUCUUUUUUUUCCCCCCCUCACCAUUCACCACAAGUCUUGGAAAUAGUCAUAUCUUCCUGAGUUUUUAUACCUGAAUCACUAUUGUGCUUGUUCAUUUUAUCUGCAGAAAUGUGCUUUCAAUAGAUGAGUAUGCAUCCUACUUUGACGGCAUUGAUCCUCUCGCACAAUAUAAGAAGUGGAAUAUUAAACAUGCUGCUAGUGAAAAUAGAACUUUUAAGGAGAUGGCUCCGACUAUUUGCUCCCAGAGAGUUCAAGCAGCAUUUAUAGUUAGUGAUUCUGUUGACUGGAGCAGAGACAUUCAGGUUGACUUAGGUUUUUUAGCUAAUAUGAUCAGUAACUGUUAUUUACAUUCAGUGAAAGGACUUGCAGUCAAAUUAUUAGCUAUAACUGGUCAACAAAGGUGCCGGGCUCAAUGUCUUAACAUCCAUAUGGAUGAACAGUUAAGAAUUAAAUUUUGACCUUCCCCUUUGUCCUACUGGUGUUGUGUCAGUAUUGUGGUCAGGAGUGUUGGCCUUUAUAAUCCAACCCUAUACUUUUCCAGCUUAUGGAUCUUACUGUUCUUGUGGAAAGUUUAUAAUUCUACCUGAAGUUGAUUUGUUAUGAUUUUUGUUUAGGUUGUUUCAGUUCUCAGCUGCUGAAUGUCUGGCCAAAACCUGAGAAUCACAGUGCAUUUCUUUUUUUCUGUCUAUAAUAUAGGAAACUUUGUGGGAAAGAAAAGAAAAAUACAUUCAAUCUAAUUUUGUUAAUAGUAAGUCUCGACUAUAAUCAAAUUAGAGGUUUGAACUUUGAAUGGUCAUCCUGAGUCACAACAGUUUCAAACUUGCUCUUGUUGUCAUGUCUUCUGAAAACAUCCUUCUACUCCUGUUAUUUUUGGUCUUUGAAUAUUUACUACAGUAAAUGUCUUUUAGGUUCUUUGUGACAUUUUAAGAACUGGAGGUCUACCUGGAAGGGAAACUGGACACCAGCCGCAUUUGUAUUUUGCAAAUGAUGAUCUUAAAUACCAGGUUAGUUCUUAUGUAGACUCUAUAUGUUGGUUGUUAUCUUGAGUUUUUGUAGAAAUCUUUUUUAAAACUGGUUAUAUACUGACAAGGUGCUGUUGAAGUUAGGCUACUUUCCCUUCUGAACGUCUGGGUAUGGGAGCUUUCAGAAUUGCACUGGAAUCCAUUUUCAAUAGGUAAGAGAGCUCCAGUAGUUGAUCCUAUACUGUCUGAAUUUUUUCAAUGAAUACUUGGAAAUGUCUUGCUGGCCCACUUAUUGACGGUCCUUGACUUAUUUGACCACAAUCACUCAAAUGAGUUGGAGGCUAACCUGUGGACGUCUGCUUCUGAGAGAUGGCCCUUUUUUGAGAUUUGAUGAAUUGACACCAAAUGUUGAAAAUGUAACCUGUAUAUCCCAUGUUCUCUAAUCUCUACCCUUUGGCACUAUAUAAUUUCAAUAUUGUGUGAUGCAAUGAACUUUUCUGCCUUUUCAUUAAUUAUGCAGAAUUCACCCAAACCCUCUGGAGUAUACUUCUUUUGGCAAGCCAAAUCCAUUAGUUUUUCAGAACGCUGAGUUGGCACUAAAGCAACUAGUUCUUUCUCUUUGUCCUAAUGCUCAUGUUGUGAAUCAUGCAACUUCUGAAAGUCAUCAUUUUAGAACGCUGUACAUGAUUGGAGAUAACCCUUCAGUUGACAUUAAAGGAGCACGCCAGGUUUGUCUCACAUGUCUAGAAAUGUGGAUUCAUAAUCUCAUAUAUUUGUAUUGUCAACUACAUAUUUUUUUUAAAUAUAUUACAGUGCAACAAAAAGAUUUCUUUUGCAAUUUCAGGCCGGGCGACCCUGGUUUUCUAUUCUGACUAGGACUGGGGUUUUCAAGGGAAAGGAAAAUAGUUCUGAGUUUCCGGCAGAUCUGGUAAACAUUCCAUGAACUUGGGCAUUUUGUUAUCCAGGCGUAAUGCGCUCAUAUUUACAGUUAAAUCAAGCACAUUCUAUUUCCCUCUUUUUUUCCCACCCAUAUGUGCUUAAUUACAGUUGAAGUGCUCGAAAUACCAAUUUGGCAUUGAAUUGCGCAACUGAACUUUUAUGUUGAAUUUUGCAGGUCGUUGACACCGUGGAGGAAGCUGUGGAGUAUAUAUUGAGAAAGGAGUCCAUCUAAUACAGAUUCUAUACCCCUACCUGUUCCAAGAUUUCCUGUUAUAUUGUUUGGAACACCAGGCCAUUUAUAUUGAAAGGUGUAGGAUGUAUGGGUCAAUUCAGUUCAGAGUUGCCGUAUGAUACCAAUAGUGAUAACCUAGUAGUUCUUUCUAGGUUUGUAUGUCCAAAUCCAUCUUGGUGUAAAACACAUUGUCUUCAUUUUUUCUUUCUUUCCCCGUAAAUGGGGUUAAUUCUAUUUACGUUGAAUUGUGAAACAAUCUAACACAGUUUCCAAAUAUAAGGAGGGAUCGUUUGUUCUGCUUGCUAUGGACUCCUUGAAGCUGCCCAUUUUAUCUGGCUUUUAUUAUUGUUUACAAGUAAUUGAACUCUAUAAUAUAGUGGAUUUGGGGCAUUAUCACACUUGUUAAACAAACCAAAUGAUCAUUUAGCUUCAGCCAAUGCACUUGGAACGUGAUUAUGCAACAAAAAGAGAAGUUUAGGGCAAGGAGGAAUUCCAUUCAAUGUCCUGAAAACUUUUCAUCUCUCUUUUAGCACGGUAAUUACAAUAGCAUAAAAAUCCAGUACAAAAAUGUAAGUUUCAUAUGUUACAGCACAUGGAAUGGUCUAUAAUGCAAUAAAGACCAAAUUAAGUCCUCUCCGUCUCCUUUUCGUAGAGUUCUAGAGUAAUAUCUCAUAUUCCAUCUUUUUUGGGUCACACCAUAAGUGUUUAGAACUUGAUGACUUGUUUAGGUUGGCUACCGUGUAAUCCAAGUGCCUUACUCAGUGCAGUCUGAAAAUUGUUGAAAGGAACCAGCUCCAUGCUGCAAAGAAAAGCACCUCACCUCAGUUAAUAAAAUAUUAAUAGGUGAUGAUUAAAAGGAAUAACGAAAAGAUGCUUAAUUAAUAUCAUUACAGCAAGUAUUUUUUCUGUUAAGAUGAACGUACUCAUAUUUUAAUUUCCCUUCUCGUGCUAGGCACAGAAGAUAAUCUAUCAUAUUUCUGCACUCUGUUGCUUUCUCUGAGCUCAACCAUUUUUGCAACCAAAAGCCCUUCAAGGAAAGAUCCUGCAAAAAGAUAUAUUUAGAGAUAUUGGCUGUAAGAGUCUUGGAAUGAUAAGUGUGCUUCAAAAAAGACAACCCAUUUGUAAUGCUACUUUUCAUUUUAUUUUUGCUAACACACAAAUAACAAGUUGCAGUAUUCCUUUUUGUUCUUUUCCACUUUCCUUCAAAUUUGAACUCUGGCUUUAUGUUUCUACAUUUUAGGCUUUAGAUUCUUCUGAACAUUAGAGUACACCUCAUGUCCAUGCCUCACUAAUAUCCUUCUAGUAUAACCUUCUUAAGUAGAUGAUGAAAAAACUAAAGAACAAGCAGAUUCUUAAACCCUACAGAAAUUGAUCCUCAAUAGUAACGCUUAAAUGUAACUGACAACAAGGAGAAGGAACUGGAGUAUCAGGGCUUACCUUAAAUAUGAAGGAUGAAGUUGAUACAGUGAUGGGUUUCUUUGACAUUCCACCAUAUGUUACCAUAGUUCCUCCCUGACUGAAAACAAAAGUUUUAUCUCUUAACUUGUGAAAAUAAUUUCUACAUCCAAACAUAUAGCUUUCUCAAUAAUUUAGUAUUGAAGAUCACACCUCAAGAAUUUGAGAACCAUAGAAGCAGAAUUGCCCCCAACACAGUUAAAUCCCAAAGCAGGUUCAGGUAAAUUAGCCUAGCAUACAAUAGACAUAUAAAAUCGUAACAUUGAGUCUGAAGAACUCAAAAUGUAAGAAACAAAUCAAGCAUUACAAAAGCACAUGAUUUUCUAGCACCAAACACAUUAAAGAAGUACAAAUCCUUAGUCUCACAAAUAUAAUGACUAAAAGAUAAUAAUACCAGAAAACCCUUGACAUUUUUCACUUCCAGCUGGCUCUCAGUAAAUACUUCAUCUGCACCAAGUCCUUUAAGCUUUUCCUUAGCUUCAUCUGACCCUGCCCUGGACCAAGCUGAAGAGGGUAAUUGAAGGUAUAUAGGCAGGCAUCCAUUGGAUAACAAAACUUCAAGCAAUUAAAAAAUUCAGUCAGAUAAACCCUUCUUGCCACAUUCUAAAUUUUUAAAAGUUAAAGCUGUGUCUGAUUGUAGGUCUUCCUCCGUCCCAUGUUUGGUAAGGUUAUUAUCAAAUCACUUAUUAGCCACAAAUACCUUUGUUUUUAUUUUAUACAAGUCAUCACCAUGGAGCAAUAUUUCUUUUCAGCUUUCAAUUAAACUUUAAAUAAGAACUAAUUGAUUUUCCACAUCUAAACCUCCAUCAUUGAAUCCUUUAGAAAUGAUCAGGAAGGGUUAUCAGAUAAAAAGAGUACAGAAUAGGUUGUAGUCAGAAAUCUAGUGAGGAUAUGGGAGUUUUACUUCCCAGAGUUGUCCAUAUACUGGUCAAUGACAAUUUGUUCAGCAGAACAUGGCCAAUAGAGCUAGUCAGAUGAGGAUAUAACAUUCUUAGAGGCGUACUCAAUGAGGAUCAUGAGAAACAUCUGUACCCUCAGUAAACUUGAGAAAAGGCAGAUUAGGAUAUAACAUUCCUAGAGGUAAGUACUCAAAGCAGAUCAUGAGAAACAUCUGUACCCUCAGUAAAACUUGAGAAACGAAAUUGAGGAUGCUUGGGGAAAAAUACUCAUGCUUGCAUGUGUCUCUAGCAGUGAUUUAAAGGACGUAAAACUGUAAUAUCCGCAUAUUAAAGACGAAGCUCGUUGGGCACGAUACUGCAAUAGAAGUGAAUGUUUAAAGGCCUUUGUUUGGUGCAAUGAUGGGCAACCCACAAACAAACUAUCAGAACCUGACAAGUAUGUAAAUCUAUCAAACAUUAUUCUGGCAGUGAAAUUCUGACACCAGGUAAAAGUUAAUACAUGCCUAAACUAAGGGUCUCUGUUUUCUUUCAGACCAUACUUCAAUCAACAAUAGGACAAGUAUGAGGUCAACUAUCACUAGAAAAGCUUUUAAAUUAGUUUUGUAGUAAACCUUGGUAAUCCUCAACAUUCAAAGUUUUCAGGAAGAUGAAGAGUAUGAAACCAUAAUUUGUUGGUGAAAGCAAUGUCUAUUGUCAAGGUUAAAACCAUGAACAGAGACCACAGAAAUGUACUCUGUUUAAUUAUCAAAAUUCGAACAAAUUUGCUGAAUAACAAGAUUAAAUGCAACCGAGCUCAAGUAAUACUCAGCUCCCAUGUAAUACCUAUCCCUUAUAAUAUUAAUGCUAUGGAUGCCACGAUGUCUUGCAAUCUGAAUUAUGCACUGCCCCACAAUGCUUGUUGCACCAUUUUGGACGAUAGAAUCUCCUGCUUAUACCAAGAUUUAUCAGGAAAAAGAAGCAAAAGAAUAAUAAAAAAUUGAAAUGAAACAUAAGGCAACACCUGAAUUUAGAGUUGUGAAGUCUUCAAGCAUUCUUAAAGCAGUCAAAGGAUUAACAAUAAUGGUAGCAGCAUACUCCAUAGGUGAAUCUUUACUAAUUUUGUGCCAGACACUCUGAUCUUUCACAACAUAACUCUGCCAUGUUCCUGCAUAAAGCAUCACACAGUGCCCUAUUAUGUUCUCUUGUUAAAUAUGUUAAUAUUUUGUGCCAAAGGUGUUCUAAGUAUUAUCCAAAAUGUCUUUUCUAUUCCUAUUUUUCACAAUGUGUGAAGUCUCUAAGGUGCAGUAAUUGUCCCACGUGCAACUGCAAGACCAGCACACAUUUUCUUCUUUUAAAAAGAGUAACACAUCAUGACCACAAGCAGCAAGUAUGAAAUAGCUUGCAAAGUUGGAAAAAGCAAAUCUACCUGAUGAGGGUGGAGAGGGGAUGACCCAAUCACCGGGGGCCAGUCUCGUAACUGCAGAGCCGACAGAAUACACCUCUCCAACACCCUCAUACCCUCCAACUGCUGGCACUUUUGGCCUCACCGGGUACACCCCUGCCAACAACACCAAAUUAACAAUUUUUCAAUUCUAUCCUAUGCAAUGAACUAAACCAAUCAUGCAGAAACCAUAAAUAAAAAACAAUAAAUAAAAUUUUGCAAUUUCUGUGCUUGGCGUAAAGUAGAAAUUUUACUCGGCUGAGUUAAUAAUCAUCGAAAUGUACAAACAGUUAGUUGUGAAGAGCAAUUUUGACCCAGAGCAAUUUUCAUGCUUCUGUGAAGGAAAAAAAAGGGAGCAAAAGAGACCUUCAAUGCGAUUGAUAUCAGAAGGGUUGAUAGGAGCAGCUAACAUUUUAACGCACACGUCAUUCUCUUUCACUUCCACCGGCGGUAACUCUAUCAUUCUGCAAAUUCAAUUCAACACCAAAUAUGUAAUUACACUACUCAUUCAUUCACCACUAUAACUAACUAUACUCAUACUUCUAUAACAUAUAUCUUUCGGCGGCGUACUUGAUGACUGAGUCGGGCGGGCCCUCCCGCUCGUAGACGACAGCCUUUGACGGCGGCGACAUUAGAGCCGAGAAGGCCCGAACUCGUUGGGCUUGGACCCGACGAGCACGGGCCCAUUCGAUACUUGCUGCUGAAAUUGAUCUGUUUAUCAGUUUUAGCGCCACUGAUCUUGCCAAUGCCAUCUUUGAUCUUUCCAGUUUGGUUAGCGCAGGCAAAGUUGCUCGUGUCAAUGAGUGCAUCUCUAGCACCAAAAAACGAUGUCGUUCUGGGGUUUCCAAAAUCCAUCGACGCCUUGUUUCUAUAUUUAUCAACUGGCCAGGCAGGGCCGAUCCGGGCCUGUCAUUAUACUAGGCCCAGCCUCCCGGUCGGCCGUCAAUUUAUUUAUUUAUUUAUUUUUUUGUUUCAUCUUUUGAAAAUUCUUAAACUUAUUCAAGUCGGGUCGGAUAAAUUGACCACUCCUGAUUUUCCAUCCGAACUCAGGCCCUCAAAAAGUCAUACUAGCACAAACUCAAGUGGCGUCCAGCCGCCACUCGUAAUUAAAACGUCAUAAAGACGUUCAAUUGUUUGUAUUAUAUAAGUCAAUUUUAUUUACCCCCUAAACCCUCAAAAAGUUAAAAAUAAAUAAAAUAAAUGAUUUUUCACAAGGCAGUUUUAACAAAGAGAAAACUUUUUUUUUUUUUUUCAUUUCGAUUGCUUUGAUAAAAAGUUGAUAUGAUAUCGUGUUAUCUUUUCAAUUAUAAUCAAUCAUGGGGCAUUUGACUAUGAUGGUUAAAAUCUAAUGAACUAAGAAUUUUAAGUUAUUAAAAAUAUCGGUUUGACUUUUCUGAUUGUUGAAACAAAUUUCAAGAUGUGGUUGAUUUUACUAACAAUAAGAAAAGCAGCAGAUCACAGAUCUGUUGCGUUAUCUAAAAAAUUCAAGACAAAUGAAAGAAUUUUUAGAGACUCAAAAUCCUUCAUACUCCUAAAUAUUGUAAUGUCAUUGCACACUCUCUAAGUAAGUCAGUCUUAGAAAGGUGUGAAAUUAUUGUGUGCCUUCAAUCCUUUCCAGUGAAAAAAUUAAUUAAUUAAUUUUGUUGAAUUAAUGAAAGUUUUAUUUUUUAUUUUUUUAAAAAAUAUAAUAUUAAGAUAAUGACGUACUUAUAAGGUUUUGUUUUCAAAUAAUAUAUCAUAUGACGAUUUAUUUAUUAAUAAUUAAUGAUAAAAUAAAUAAUAAAAAAACAACUCUUAUCUAACACAUGGUAGUUACUAAUUAGUGAUAAGAUUAUUUUGUAUUCUAAUUUGUAAGUAUAUUAGUAAUACCAACAAUAUAUAUCUGAUAACAUUCAUUUACUCAAAUCUUCAUUUGUUCUUUUAAUAAAAUUUAAGUUUAACUCUUAUUUUUGCCCCUUUUUUUAUUUUUUAAAGGAUUCUUGCUCUCCCUAUAAAUAAAAUGCAAACAAAUUCAAAAUUCUCUCUUCUGAACAUAAGAAGAGGGGAUUCAUGGAAGGGGCAAAGCGGAUAAGAACAGUGUGCAUUGUGUAUAUGAAAGCAUAAAGGGCAAAAAAUUAAAAAAGAAAAAGAAAAAAAAAUGUAAAACUGAACCGAAAAAAGAAAAAAAAAAGUUAUAUAAUACAUGGAUAAGGCUCACUGCUUAUGGCGAGCUUGCAUGCAAGUAGUUAUUUAAAAAAGAAAGAAAUUGUUGCCAUCUAAAGUUCAGAUAAAGGGGUAUUGUUGUCAAUACAGCAGGCCACGCGAAGCGACGCCGUCUUUACAGCUAAUGGUAUCCGUAUAUCCCCUGAUGUUCGCAAAUGAAGACCUAUACCUUCACGCGCAAUGAGCCACGUGUCCGUCUCUGGAUCUUGAAGAUCGUUUAAGAUUCGCGCUUGAACUCUUAACUCCCAGCUUUUGAUUUUGUCCAUGUCAGCAUUCAUCAAAGGUUCAAAGUUAUCCACAUUAAUGGGCCACUUCCUACGUGGCUUCUGAGCCCUCCACACCUCCAUUUGUUACACGUCAGCAAAAUAAUAUCUUCCUUCUCCCACUUCAACAUUUGCUUCCUCAGAUUCUUUUAACACUGCAUUUUAUUUCUCGCAACCAGCAAUAUCAAGAGAAAGGGGGAAAAAAAAAAAAUAGAGUUCCUAAUAAUUAAGAUUUGAUAAAUGGUGGCUUGAUCUUAUUCUCUGGAUAAAGAGUGAAGGUUCCGUUUUUUCUUAAUUAUUUUCUAUUUUGUUCAUUUAUAUAAAAUGUUUAUAUUAUAUUAUACUAUUAGUUUUUGCUUUAAAAAGUCUGUUGUUGUCUUCUUUAAUAUUAUGUUUGCAAGAUGAGAAAAAGGUAUUGAGAGGAGACAAUUUUGAAUGAUUUGGAUCUAAGUUUCUUUCGAUGAGUUCAUUUUCAUAGGUUCUGUUUUGUGAGUAACCUAACAGUGGUCUGUAAACACUUCUCAUGUGGAUUCCGUUGCAUAUUUUAAAAUAACAGAUUAUUUUCUCUUCUGUUUGAUUGGAUAUUAAUAUCAUUAUUUUUGUUUUUAUUAUUAGUAUUAUUAGUUUGUUUGUUUGUUUCAUUAUUUUAUUGUGUUGAUGGUAGAUUCUGGGUUUGAGUUGUUUCUGAGUAAAUAGUUAUAGAUGGAAUUUGAGUUAAGAUGAGUUAGGAUUACAUUUUCUCUCUACGUAUUGAAAGUAUUCGUAAUUGUUUCCUUUUAUUAGAGAUUGCAUUGAAGUUGUAUGCUUUCUACAGAUAUCCAAAGUUGAUAAUCCUGGAUUAUUUACACUUUACAAAUUUUAACUUAAAAUCUGAGUACUGAUUUUCUGUUUCGAGUAUUGUAAAAAAGUGUCUGGAUUUCCUGAUGUGCAAUGUGCAAGUGAUUUUGAGGGUUUCGUUUUACUAUUAGUAGUUUUAAGGAGAGUCUUGAGUUUGCUUGUAGGUGUCUGCUUAUUGAAAUUUUCUGCUUUGUGUUUGCAGAGUUUGGUUCUGUGGACAACAUAAAAUACAAACAUGGUAGAUUGAACAAAGGGUAUCCUGUACUGUUUUUAUUGAAUUUGGUUUAUAUAGUGGGCUGGUAAUCCUAAACGGCAGUAUGUGUUAUGAGCAAAAGGAAGUUGGGAAUGGAGUGGCUGGUGAGGGUCAUGGUCUGGGCUCAUCAGAGGAAGAUGAGUCAAGGGUUGACGAUGCUGUUAACUCAAACAAUGGGCCUGGUGGAACAAUUCAGGUCCAUGAUGGUUUCCAGAUAUCACAACAACAACAACCUCAAGGUUCUGUGAUACGUUGGGAGAGGUUUCUGCCUACUAGGUCGUUGAAGGUUCUUCUAGUGGAAAAUGAUGAUUCAACUCGCCAUGUUGUCAGCGCUCUGCUGCGGAAUUGCAGUUAUGAAGGUUAUCUGUGUUUCAAUCUAUGGAAAUCAAUUAGUACCAUUUAAUAACAGAGAAUCAAUCUCAAGAAUAUGUUUAAUAUGGUAUAGAUUUUUUUGUUAGAAUUUGAUUUCAUAGCUUCAUUCUUUUCAACUUACAAUCCCAAGUAGAGGAGUGUGGCUUAACUGCUGUUUACCGUGCCAACUAGGGAGGGGCAACUCUUUCUCAUAUUUUACCUUCUAAUCAUAUCACUUAAAAGAAUGGAUACACAUGUGAUGGAUGUCUUCUUCCAUAGAUGAUCUUGUUUGGUAGGGAUAUAUAAUUAUUGAAUAAUAAGAAAUUACAAUCAUUCCUUUUCCAGAUACUUCACUUAAUUAUACUCCUCAGAAUCUAAGUCUGUAGUAAAUAGAUAGUGAAAUCAAAGUUGUAGACUUGUAUCCUCAUCUGAAGUGCGACCUUAGGUCAAUAUGGAUUGAGCUGCAUCAGACAACUUUUCCUUACCUCUGUUUAUUUGUGAAAACUUAUACUUUGAUCUGGUCUUGCAGUUACUGCUGUUGCAAACAGCCUUCAUGCAUGGAAGAUUCUUGAAGAUCUUACUAAUCAUAUUGAUAUUGUUCUAACGGAGGUAGACAUGCCUGUUGUAUCAGGAAUUGGUCUUUUAUGCAAAAUUAUGACGCAUAAAACUCUAAAAAACAUUCCAGUGAUAAGUAAGUAUCAUUCGCUACUCCUUUCCUUGUUGAUAUUCAUGAAAUGCAAGGUCAAUUUUCCUAUGAAUAUUGCAAGCUUGAUGCAUUUAGUUACCUUGAUAUCUGAUAAGAUGUGUUCGCAGUGAUGUCACCUAAAGAUUCUAUGGGCAUAGUCUUUAAGUGUUUAUCAAAAGGUGCGGUCGAUUUUUUAGUGAAACCGAUAAGGAAGAAUGAACUUAAAAAUCUCUGGCAGCAUGUUUGGAGGAGAUGCCACAGUGUGAGUUCCUCUGAAUUUCUGCUUUAGACGUGUAAUUACAUGUUAUGAACCCCGGUUUUCAAUCAGAUACUGUUGGUCAAGUCUGUAGGUUACUUGGAAGUUAAGUUAUUCCUUAACUUGGAAGUAUUAAUGCACCAUAUUUUGCUGUAAGGUUCAUUUCCUAUUAUACAUACAGAUUCCAAUUGCAAAGUUUUCUGUUUUAAGCAAGUUUAAUUUCAUGGUCUCAUGUAUCUUACCUUUGAUCAGUAUCAUCUUUCAGUUGAUUGAAGGACAAUGAAUGUUAGAAUUUCCUUCUUGUCUUUGGACUAAUUUUUAACCUUUCACAGUCGAGUGGCAGUGGCAGUGGCAGUGGUAGUGAAAGUGGAACACAGACUAAAAAAUCGGCAAAGUCAAAAAGUAACAACGGCUCUGAAAAUGAUAGCAGCAGCGGUGAUGAGCUUGAGAAUGGGAGUAAUGGUCUGAGUAUUCGAGAUGGAAGUGACAAUGGGAGUGGCACUCAGGUGAUUUUAUAUGGGUCUUUGAAUGUUAUGUAGCUUGAAUACAUUUGGUGUAUGCAAUUAUAUAACUUUUGAAUGGUUAUAAAAAGUGUGUUUUAAUGGAAAAUAUGCAUAAUAUCAAUUACUUAGCCAGAAAAAGGGGUAGAGCAUGCGAGAAGUGGUAUAUGUAUUAAUACUCUCUUGUGGCUAUAAAUAUUAAAGUAGCUGUGCAAAUGCAUAAGUAAUAUCACAGCUUUCUGUUCAUUGGUGAGAGAAGCUCCCCUUGUAUGAAUUUCUAGAGUCACUUUCUCUGUUUCUGCUGAAUUUCCUUAAUACUUGACAUCAUCAACAAAAUUCCAUGCUAUGAUAUGUCUCUAAGCAAAGGUUUCUUAUUAUCAAUUUAUAAGCAACUGUAUUCAAGGAUAAUUUAUGAAAAUAAAAUGUUAAUUGAGAUGACCUAAAUCAAGAAAAAUCUGGAACAGAGACAUAAAAUUUAAUGCUUUUCGGACUUUGUGGCUGCCUUAUCUAUAAAUAGAAUGUAAAUUUUGACUGAUGACAGAAGUCAGAUGUGAUAAUUCAUUUAUUUUGCAGAGUUCAUGGACCAAAAAGGCAGCUGAAGUCGACAGCCCCCAACCAAUAUCACCCCGGUAUCAAUCGGCUGAUGAUAGCAUUUGUGCCCAGGUGAUUCAUACUAAGCCUGAAUCAUUUAGCAAUGGGUGGGUGCAUCUUAAUGAACCAAAAGAUGGUCUUGAGCAGGAUGAACAACCUGGUAUCUAUCUGUUUUUGCUCCUCUGUGGUACCCUUGGUUGGAUCUUUUUAUUUUUUAUUUUUAAUUAUUAUUAUUAUUAUUAUAUGCUUUCUGGUAAUUGUAAAUGUGUCUUAUGUUUAAGAUGGUGUUGCAAUGCACAAAGGAUUGGAAAUGCAAGUAUCUGAAAAUGCAGAUUUAAAAUGUGAUUGUCAACAUGAGAAGAAAUCUACGCAGCAAACUAGCAAAAAGAAGAUUAAAUUGCCGGAAGUAGAUAGUAAGCCAUUUGAUAAUAAGCAACUGGAGGUUGACAAUGAAAAUAUAUGUGGCAAACGAAGAGAUCAGGCUACUAGCACAUCAAGUGCAAACGCCAAUCAUGCUAAUCCCCAUGCUGAAAUCAGAGAUUUUGACACUCCAAGUGGCCCUUCUGAUAUAUCACUUGUCAAAGAAACACCAUGCCUGGAACUAACUUUGAAAAGGAUGCAAGGAGUGGAAGAUGAUCAAAGUGCUGCAAAUGAAGAUUGCAAUGUGUUGAGACAUUCAAUUUUUUCUGCAUUCUCAAAGUAUGAUUUGAACUUGAAGGCUCUAAACUUUAGGGUUUUUAGCAAAUUAAAAUGAGCCUAAAACUUUUAUUUUCUUCUCUUUUUAUUUUUUUUCCUUCUUUUGGAACUUGAAUAUGCAGAUACAAUACUGCGUCUUCAGCAAAUCAGGUAAUGAUCUACCCCUUUGGACUGUGGAAUCCUAAGACUUUUGGCAUAGCUCUCAUAUGUUGUUGCAUUUACUUAUGCUUAUAUCUAUGCAACCAUUAAGAUGUUGAUGGCAUUAUGUCAAGUCACUACAAAUCUUGGGCAAAAGGACACCAAUGAAUCACGGGUGUGCCUUAUAUUCUUCACUGAGGGGAAAAAAAUGCAUAACCUCAUCAUAAUAUGGCUUCUUCACCAAUAAAAACCAGCAUCACCUGCAUCAUACAAUGGCUUGCAGCUAUUGGCAAGCAGCUGAUAUUAACAAUGAUGGGAGGAAAGCACAAGUGCAGAAUGGCAAGACCCUUGUUUUCUUUCCAGUCUAAUAGUUGUACCUCUGUCAUCCAGGGUCUCACUGGGAAUGUAGGAAGCUGUUCUCCUCUAGAUAACAGCUCUGUGGCAAUGAAGACAGAAACAAUGCAAAAUUUUCCAUCUCAUUCGAAUGGCACUCCUCUCAAUCGGCAGUCUAAUGGGAGCAGCAACAACAACGACAUGGCCUCCACUGCUAAAUAUGUUACCCUCAAGCCCGAAGCUUUAAACGAUAAGUCAGAGUCAAUAUCAGCAUUCAAACCUUUUCACUCUUCUGCUUUCCAAGCUCUGCAGAAUAGCCGUAGUUGUUCAUCUCAACAAGUGUUACCUGAAAAGACAGAUGACAUGGGACCGAACUCGUGUCAAUCACAAUUGAGAGGGUCACACCAUUCAGUUCAAGCAGAGAAUCACCACCACCACCACCACCACCACCAUCAUUAUCAUCAGCAUGGUCACAGCAUGCAUCUCCAUCAGUCCCCACAGGACCAUGAUGAUCUCUCGUCCAAGGCUAUGGCAGCUGCAGCUCCACAGUGUGGGUCAUCAAAUGUAUUUGAGAGCAACAAUGAUGGUGAUGUUGGAAAUUAUGAUGUGAACGGCCGUAUCUGUUCAUCUCAACCGCUUUUACCUGAAAAGACGGAUGAUAUGGGACUUAACUCAGGUCAAUCACAAUUGAGAGGGUCACACCAUUCAGUUCAAGUGGAGAAUCACCACCACCACUACCACCGUCAUUAUCAUCAGCACGACCACAACAUGCAGCAGUCACCACAGGACUGUGAUGAUGUCUCGUUCAAGAAUAUGGUAGCUGCAGCUCCACAGUGUGGGUCAUCAAAUGUAUUUGAGAGUACCAAUGAAGGUAAUGCUGGAAAUUAUAGUGUGAAUGGGAGUGCCUCGGGGAGUAACCACGGCAGCAAUGGACAAAAUGGAAGCAGCACUGCCUUGAAUGCUGGAGUAACAAAUUUGGACAGUGACAAUGGGGCAGCAGGAAAUAGUGGAGUUGGUGGCAUAACUGAAAGAAUCAGUGGAAAUGUGGUAGAUGAAGUUUGGGUUGCUCAGAGAGAAGCUGCCUUGACUAAAUUUCGCCAGAAAAGGAAAGAAAGGUGUUUCGGGAAGAGGGUAACUUUCUUUCUUUGCUUAUGUUUUUACUUGGCUGCUAAGGAUGGUUUAUGUAGAGACUCUGUCCUGCUGGGUAGUUUUAAUUGCCAUUGUAAAUUUAAGGUUUGCUGCUGAUGUUUGAAGCAUUUGUUGCCAAAUGGGAAAAAAUAUUGAAUAUUAAAACACGAAAUUAUCAAAGUUUAUCUCGUAGUGGUGAACCACAUCUCCAAGUGUUCACCACAUACAGGAUUAUAAAAAGUUUUUGUUAUUAGUACCUCUGAUCUCCAUUUCCUUGGCACCUUGUGGUCUAAUCUUAAGAUUUAUUUUUAGAAGACCUACUAUGAACUUUUCAUUAAGCUGAUAGAUAUUCUUCCUUUGGGAAUAUAAUGCUUUUGUGACUAGUAUUGUUGAAUCCAGCCCUGUGAUUAUUUUGAACUCAAGAGACUUUUUCCUACAGAUGAUUUAAAACUUUGAUUUUGUUGGGAAACAGCUUUUUCAUGCUUGCUUUUGAUAUCUAAACUAUAGUUAUUUGACAAAACUAGCUUUUCUUCUGUUCUGUUUUCAGGUUCGAUAUCAAAGCCGGAAAAAAUUGGCAGAACAAAGGCCACGUGUCAGGGGACAGUUUGUUCGACAACUACCGUAUGAUGCUGAUAUGCAUUUUGUUAAUGUUAUCAUCCCUUGUUUUUCAUAAAAUAUGUUUUGAUUGUAUUUUCUUUCAGGUCAGAUGCCAAUUCAGGAAAAGAUACCGCAAGCAACGGCCAUACCUCUGAAGACAAUUCUAGUGACAAUCUAAGAUAACAUUGUGGCAGUGCGGCAGAUUUUUAAAAUCAACCGUUAGUCCCUGAUAGAUCAUGUGAAUUUGUGUACAUUAGAUUAGCAUUAACUGUUCAUGGUGGGAAUGGGUUGUCUUAAAUUCUUAAUUUGGGACUGGGUUGGAGAUAUUUUGUAGGCGCAUUUGAUCAAUUUGAAACGAAUUUUACGGAACCAUGGUUCUGCCUUGAUGGUUGUAAACUUUUAUGAACUCACUUAAGAGUUUCUUGAAUGGAUUAAACUCUAAAAGCGUAAACAAUAAAUCUCUGUUGCUUCUUCUGUUAUUUUUAUUUGGUUUACUAUUAAAAUUUUAUAUUUGCUUGUUUGUUACUGAAGUUGAUCUGAUGGAAGUUUUCAGUUUUGUCCCGUCGUGUGGUUGCUUCUCAGAUCUUGUUUGGUUCUUGGGAUUUAACUUUGGGGUAACAACAAGGCCUGCCCUAAUGGACAAUUAACACUUAGGCUGCAAUGUUUAGGUACCAACAGAGAAGUAUUCCAUACGUCAAACAAACCUAGUAGUAAGAAAUCUUAUCUAUGAAACCGUUUAUCCGCAUUAUUGACCAAUUACUUCGUUUCAUGAGAGCAACUGAGCAGUAAUACUAAAGACUAAAGUAGUGUCUUCUUCUUGCUCUUCUCUUCUUCUUUUUUUUUUCUUUUUUCUUCCCUCCCUUGCAAUUACAGUGUACGGUUUGGGGUGGAGAUCCAACCAGCAACAUAACUAAACAAUACACUCAGUUCAAGUAAGAUCUACUUCACACCUACAAAUAAACAUUUAUACGAACAUGUGUUCCUUAUAAUGACUUAAACUUCUCUCUUUUGUGACCGAAAAAGAGUCUUUUAAACCCUCCACCCUUCCAAUGACAACGUGGGGGCAAGUAUAGACCAAGACAAGCGCAUGCGGCCCCAAAAGUCAAAAAAGAAAAUAAAAGAUUUAUAUGAUCCCAUACCCAGAGUGUCGGUGCCUUUUGUUUUCUAUUGAGACUAAGCAAGAAAAAGAUACAACAUGACACAGCUUUUCACAACAAUUACUUUCUUAAAGUAGUGUUGGUUGAUAUAAUGGAGUCUUGACAUGAUUGUUCAACCAAAGCUCUUGAACUUUCAAUGCAGGCGUGUGUACGUACAUGUGCAUGAGUCCCAAAACAAGAGUGCAGCAAGCAAAAGCUGAAGAGUAAUGAAAGCACUUCCGGCUGUUGCCUGUUGCCUGGUGCCUGAUAAGGAUGGGAAUGUGUCGAAUGAGUUUUCAACUAUUCGGAAAAGGAAUUUGGUGGAAUUUGGAUGCGGACUUGUCGACACACCGAGUUCUUGGGCAGUUAAAAUAAUGACUAAAUCAAUAAAACAUUACUGCAAAGUCAUAAGCAGCUAUAAAUCUUUCUGACAUGCAACGAAUGGCUACAAUCCGCGUAUCUGCCAGCUUGCUACCAACGUUGAAAGACAGUUCUUUGCGAGAUAAGAAAUACCAUUAAUAUUCAAAACAGGUCCCCUACUGCUGCUUCAUGGAAGCUAUCAGUAAGCAUGAUGGUGCAUAAAAAUUUAUCUUGGAUAUUUUUUAAUAAAAUUAUAGUUAUUCGAUAUGUCAAUUGUAAUGAAUCUUUGUCCACACAUAGAAAAAGAGGACAUAAAUUACGUGAUACAUCUAUUUCACUUUAAAUUUUUAUCUUACCUUUUUUAUGUUCUUCCUUAUUUUCAUUUUUUUUUUCUUAUGAGUUAUAUGGAUUAUUAAAAUUGUACGUCUCUUAAAAGUAAACAUGGAUGAUUGGGUCAAACAUAUAUUCACAUCAAUGUAAUAAAUUCAUGUCACGUUUAUCAAAUUUUUCUCUUAUAUAUCAUGAUAUUGUUAUGUAUGUUGGCAGAGAAAAUCUUAUAUAAGACAAUUUUAAUAAAAUCAUGAUAAUUCAAUCAGUCAUUUGUAAUAAAUCUUUGCCCACAUAGAGAAGAAAAUAUGUAAAUUACGUGAUACAUCUAUUUCAUUUAAAUUUUUAUCUUACUUUUGAUGUUCUUCUCUUUUAUUUACUUAUUAUUAUUUUUUUUAGUAUGAGUUACCAAAAUUUUACAUCUCUUAAAAAUAGACAUGGAUUAUUAGGUCAAACAUGUUCGCGCGUCAAUAUAAUAAAAUCAUGUCGCGUUUAUCAAAUUUUUCUCUAACAUAUCACAAUCACAAUCACACUUGGUUAAUUUCAUUAUAAAUUGAUCGAUAAUGUGGUAUGGCACUACACUUAACUGUCUAAUUAUUUUCAAAUAUAAGUAUCAGCCAUUUAAUGUGUUUUAACGGUUUAAAAUAAGUGUAUGCCCUAAUUUAAUUUGACUCGUCGUUAAUUGGAUAAUGCAAUUUUUAUAAUUUCAUUUCAAUUUAGUUUGAUGUCAAAAUCUAAGUUAUGAAUUUGAAUUGUCUUCCGGUAAAACAGUUGAAUAAUUUCACAACAAAUGCUCAGAUCAUGAAGAAUGUGGCAUGUAAAAAUCUCGGUUAUGAAUUUGGGAUGUCCUCUGCACCCACGGAACAUAUUAAAAUCUAAAUUGCAUGAGAUCACCACUCAUUAAAUGUAUAUAAUAAAAUAUAAUUUGAUCCGAUUAGUCAUCAAAAAUCAAUUCAAAAUCUCGUAACUCGAUCACUAGAAAGUAUAUUUUCAAAGAUUAUUUAUUCUCUACGACUAGCUUAAUUGGGAUUUCUUUUUUUAAAAAAAAUAUUCAGAUAAGACGACGCGUGCAUACUUAUUUUUUUGUCUCAUCAAGACAUAAAAUCUCUGUGCCUAUCAGAUUGUCAUUUUAAUAUUAUUAACUGUCGAAGAAAAUUAAAAAGAAAAAUAUUGUUCAUAAGGCUUUGAUAAGAAAGGCAUCCCAAAAAGCACAAGCAUCUCAUUACCUCUAUCAUUCUCUCAACAAAAUGAGUCAAUAAAAUGGGUUUCUGACACGUGUUCAUCUAGGGUCUUAUUCUAAUUUCAGACAUUUACCGACAUGUGCCGUUUUGCACAAGUGGAAUCGUGGAACUUUCUGGAUCAAUCAUUGAAUUAUAAUACUGUUUUUGGUGCGCCCAACGUGCAAACCUUGGAAUGGACUUGAUGGAAUUUUGAACACGCAAGUAAAUAAAAUAAUAAAGCUUUUUGAUUCUAUACUGCUGUUUGUAUUUAUCACUUUACCGAAAAAAGGGAGCCCACCCAUCAAACAAACCCACUAUAAUAAUUGUCCCUCUGUUGGCUAUUAUUUUUGCAUUACGUUGUCUUUUUACUUUUUGGCUACUUCGGACUUUUAUUUGAAUAUGGAUAUGCUUGAAUCUUAAGCUCAGAUUUUGUUAGAUUUGGCUGGAAAAUAAGUUUCUUAAAUUGCUGAUGAAAGAACAAAUCCACUUAUAUAAAAGUGAGAAAGUGGAAUAAUGAGUCGAUAAAGUCGAGUAAUUGCAAUGACCAGAGGGCAAGUGAUGGCCAAUGAAAGAUUUGGACUCAUAUGUGUUGAUGAAACCCUAAUUCAAUUGCCAUUUAUCCUACAUGACAUUGUUUUUUCGGUUAAUCAAGUUAUUAAUAAAGCAAUACCUUGAAGUUGAGCUUGGGAACCGAGGAGUUGGAGUCAUACGUGUGAAUUUAUGAGGUUUAAUCUUUUUCUAAAAUAUUUGAAAUUCCUUUCAAAAAAAAUUGAAAUUGAAUUUAAUAUAUUCUUAUUAAAUAUCUAGACGGCACCAUCACAAAAUUGAUUUAAGAGAUUUAAAAUUUCUUUGUAUUAUAGUUAUUUAUUCUUUCUAUGGAAAAAAUGUAAAAUUUGCUUUAUAAAUUAUUUUUUAUUUGAGAUAGUAUUAGGUGGUGUUGACAUCACUUAAGUAUUAGGUAAAAUUCUAUUAAACACACAGACAUAAAUUGAUUGAUAUAGAUAACAUCUAAUAGCAUUACCUAAAGGCUCUUCAAAUGAGACUUUAUUUUACUUCUCAUUUGAAGAACUACAUAUGUAAAAAGAAUUUUAAAAAACUCUUUAAAUGAGAUUAUCCUUUUCAUUUGAAUAAUCAUAUUGAAGAGAGAGAUUUUAAAAAAAGAGAGAGGACAACCUCAUUUGAAGACUUUUUUAGAGUCUUUAAUUUAGUAUUAUAUUAUUUUUUAUCUCAUCAUUCUUAAAGAUAGAGAAGUAGGCUUGGUAAUAGGUUGUAUUUGAGUGAUUUUGUCUUGUGUUAAACUAAAUAUAUCUAAAUCCAUCCAUUAAUUUAUGGGUAAAAAAAUAUAAAUAUAAACCUAUUCGUUAACCAUUAUCAAGUACUCGAACGGAUCCAUUCAACCCGCUCCUUUUAAUGAAUUGUUAUAUAUUUUUAGUUUAAAACACAUAACACUUCGCAAAAAAAGCAUUUCAAACAUAUAAUACCAAACGAAAGAAAAUCUUAAUAUUUUUCAUUUUUAACACGAUAUAAUAAUAUAGUAUAAAAAAAUCAAUAAUUUAGUUCUAGGCGCCACACUAUUAUCAGCUAUUAAAAUCUUAGAAGGGAAAAAAAUUGUUGAAAAAAAUUUUAAAUUUUUGUUACUAGGAAAAAUCGAACAAUGAGUCAAAUAUGAGUUGAUGACUUCAAGUUUUACAAUAAAUACCUAGGUUUAGAGUUUGUGAUGACUUUAUAUUAGUCUUUUUUUUUUGCAUGUAAUAUUAAAAAAUUUAAUUUACUUUUUCUUUAGUAAUCUAUAAUUUAAGUUAUUAAAUUUAUUAAACUAAAGGUAUUAAGUGUUAAUACAUUGGGUGAAAUGAAUUUGAUGGUUAAAUCCAAAUCCGACACUUUAUGAAAUGAGUUUUAAUAACUUAACCCAUUAGCUACCCAAACCGAUAAAAAUGACUCAAUAGUCAUUUUUAUCAUAUGGGUUCGUGUCUUGUUAGCAGAUCGUAUUAAAUUUUAUCAAGCCUAAAUAUAUAUUUUUUAAUUUUCUCUUUUUAAAGAUUAAUAUAUUUUCUUAUAUUAACUUCACAUUCAAGAUAAUUAGAUCAUUAUCAAACGACUCUUUUUAUUUUUCUCUUUAAAUACUUAUUUACUUACUCAUAUGAAUGAAAGAAUGAAAAAAUAAGCAUUUUCCCAAAAGACUUUUGUCUUUUUAAAUAAAAAUAAGUUUGUAUUAUUUUAGUCAAAAUUUUUUCCUCCAUCACAAUAAAGCAAUUAGCUCUACUGAUUUGUAAUCUCUGCAAGUUCGAUAAAAUUAUGAUUUCUCCUAGGGUAAUUUUUAAAAACCUCCCCUGAGGUUUUGACUUGUUGCAAGUAGAUGGCGAGAAUUGAUUUAUUUGUAAAAAAUCCCCUACCGUCAGUUAAGUUUUACAUUGACCGUUAGUUGACCGUGCAAAGACAAUAUUACCCUUAACAAUAGUUUAUAAACGAAAAUAAUUAAAAAAACUAAAAUUAUUAGCUAUUUUACACUUUUUAAAUUAUUAAUAUUUUCUUAAAGUUCUUAUAAAAAAUUAAAAUUAAAAAAUCCUCUUUAAAUUAUUGAUAUUUCCUUAAAAUUCUUACAAGAAAGAUAAAAUUUAAAAUUUAAAAAUGAAAUAGUCAUAAUCUUUACCUAUAAUAUUGUAAAUUUUUAAAAUUGACAAGGAUAAAAUUGUCAAAAAAUAAGGUUUGUGCUUUUUGCACCAAUAAUUUUAGUUUUUUUUUAGUUAUUUUUGUUUACAAACUAUUAUUAAGGGUAAUAUUAUCUUUGCACGGUUAACUAACGGUCAAUGUUAAACUUAACUGACGAUAGAAAAUUUUUUAUAAAUAAAUUAAUUCUCACCAUCUACUUGCAACAAGCCUAAACCUCAGGGGAGAUUUUUAAAAAUUACCCUUUCUCCUAUUAAGUUUUCUUUUUUAACCUUCCAUGCUUUCCAAUAGUAAUUUUAUACUCUCAAAUGAGCAAAAAUUGUUAGUGGAAAAAGAAAUAAUCUCAUGAAAAGUUGCUAUUAAAGUUCCACUGACGGUGCAAAAAAGAAGUGGUCAUAAAUUAAGGGGAAUUAAAUCGCCUGACAAUUUUCCAAAUUUAUAUGGCAAUAGUUUUAAAAAGUACAAAAACUAAUGGCCGUUAAUAACGGCGUGCCGAGUCAAAAAAUACUCUUCAGAACUAAUGAAUGUCAGCACGCCAUUGGAAGGAAUUUUAACUCUUUAAUUGCGUAUUUAAUGGCGGCGUUGGCUGCGCGUGGAUCACCGUUCCCAGUAUUAAUGUGAAAGCGCGUAGGACACGUUGGGUCCCACGUCUUGGGGAAAAAAUCAAAGCGGGUCCCACCCGAUUUUCACCGCGUUGACUUUAAAGUUCAGAAUGUGGUGAAUGCCCUCCGCUGUGCAUGCGUUGCGUUCACGGGCGGGUAAAUACAAGACUAAAUGGAAAAUAGGGGAGGGCAAAUUUUGCUUCUAGAAAAGACAAAGAUCUGUUACAACCCCCACUUGCUCGCAGGAUCGGCGAGAUUCAAUCAGCGCUUGCCGCGUCACACACAUUACGGGUGUCAAACGCCUAAAGACAAAACAGCAUUUGUCUAAACUUACACCUACUCCGUAGCUUAUUUAAACGUCGAAACAACAAAUUGAUAAAGCACUCCUUGUAUUCAUGACGUGGAAGUUUCCAUUGGCUGGAAACAAAAAUAAAAGGAGUAGAGUAAAAUAGCAUAACUUAACCCACAAAACGUAAUAAAAGGAAAAAAAAAAAAAAAACUUGUUCAAAAACAGAGUGUAACUCUAGCUCGAGCUCGCUCGCUCUUUAAUGCUUCUCUCUUUUUCAGUUUUUUUUUUCUUUCUCAAUUUCUCUCAAAUUUUGAUUUUUGAUUUUUUUUGGUGUGUGUUUAAUGCUUGUUUGUGAAGUGGGGUGCUGGUUUAUGCGUCUGUUUAGCUGAGAAAGUGGAAGAAAACAAAAGUGAAAAUUUCUAAAGAGCAAAAGAAAAAAAGAGAGAUUUUUUUUUUCCUUUUUGAGUAUUAUGGGUUGUUUUCGUUGCAGUGGAAAAUCAAACAAAAAAUUAGAUGAAGAAAUCGACAACAAGAACAAGAAUUUAAACAAGCAAGCUGACAAAAAACAACUCAUUGCAGGUAUUGAACAGUUUCCCUUUUGAUCAAAAUCUUUCUGUUUUGAAGAAUUGAAACGCAUUGUGUUAAAUGAUGAUCUUUAAAAAAAAAAAAAAUUUUGGGUUGUUUUGGAAGCAUUUUGCUUACUUAUAUCUCACUCCUAUUUUCUGUGAUUAUCUUGACUUCCUUUCAAUCAAAAUUUUCGGUUGCAUGUUCUUUCUUAAGCCAAUAUAUUUUCUAGUAAAUGAUCAAGGGGUUUUUCUUUUUUAAUAAAUAUAAGUUAUCCAGGAAUUCAAACAUCUUUGAUAUUUCCAUCCCCCCCCCCCCCCCAAAAAANUCCAAAAAAAAGGUUCUUUGUAUUUCAUUUUUUAAAAUGUGCAAUUUUAAUUUGUCCACUAUUCAUAAUUUUAGUUUGUUUAUUUAUUUAUUGGGUUUACGGAGGUAAUGUUUUGUUGCUAAUCUCGUUUUGUUUUAUUUUGCAUGAUGGUAAAUUCCAAUCAAAUGAUUCAUAGCCCUAGUUGAGCUUUCAACUCUGUCCUUCUGUAUGUUGUUUGAUUGUGGUUUUUUUUUUUUUGGUAGAAAAAAAUGAUUUUCAUAUGGAAAUCAAUUUUGGGAUUUCGCCUUGACAUGUGCCUCAUCUUUUGUCGUUUCCUUUGUUCCCUUUCAUCAUCUUUGUGUUUUUUGAUUCAUGUAUUUUAGAUACACCAAGAGUUGAUUCGAAUGCCAACUUAAAGAAAGAGGAGGUCUCUAACGAUGGCCAAUUAUCUAUGGAUGUAAAUAACUUAAAUUUGAAAGAUGAUUCAAAUAACAGUGGCAAGAGCGCUAAGCCGUUCACAUUUGGUGAACUUGCGGCUGCUACCGGAAAUUUUAGGUCUGACUGUUGUUUGGGUGAAGGAGGUUUUGGGAAAGUGUACAAGGGAUACCUGGAGAAAAUCGAACAGGUUGGCUAAGUUCAUUUGAUUGAUACUGUUAAAAGUACAUAACAAGAUAAACUAUUGUAAUGAGUAGCUUAACUCAAGAUGCUGAAUAGUUUGUUGGGAAUUUUGAUUAGUGAAGUAAUCUCAAUUUGCCUAUUUGAUAGUGUUGAAGAAUUGAAGUGACUUGGGUAUAACGCCUUUUUUUUUGGCGGGGCUGCUGUACCGUACAUCCGCCUUGGCCGUACANNNNNUUUUUUUUGGGGGGGGGGGGGUUACUAUUUGUAGGUUGUCGCAAUCAAGCAACUUGAUCACCGUGGAGUUCAAGGAGUUAGGGAAUUUUCUGCUGAAGUGAUGACAUUGGGCUCUGCUGACCACCCUAAUCUUGUCAAAUUGAUUGGCUAUUGUGCUGAGGGUGAUCAGAGAUUAUUGGUUUAUGAGUAUAUGCCACUCGGAUCUUUGGAUAAACAUUUACAUGGUAUGCAAAAAUUUGAGAGUUUGCUUUGAAUGUCAUCUCAGCCAAUAUUCUCAUGGUUUUCAUUAAACCAUAAUAUUUAAUUGAUUAAUGUUUAAACAGAUCUUCGACCUGAUACAAGACCCCUUGAUUGGAAUACAAGGAUGAAAAUAGCAGCUGGCGCGUCGAGGGGCUUGCAGUACUUGCACGAACAACUGAAACAGCCUGUUAUAUAUCGUGAUCUGAAAUGCUCAAACAUUUUGCUUGAAGAAGGAUACCACCCCAAGUUAUCUGAUUUUGGCUUGGCCAAAAUGGGCCCUAGCGGAGACAAGACCCAUGUAUCUACGAGGGUUAUGGGCACAUAUGGUUACUGUGCGCCAGAUUAUGCAAUGACAGGCCAGCUGACUUUUAAAUCAGAUAUUUACAGCUUUGGGGUUGUUCUUUUGGAGCUCAUCACUGGCAGAAAAGCAAUUGAUCAAACAAAAGAUCGUAAGGAGCUAAAUCUGGUUGCAUGGGUAAGCUAAACUUUCAUUGCACUCUUUCCUAUUUAUAUAUCUGCGUAUUUAUUUGCAUUAGUCUUGCCUUUCGUUGUCCUUGUUUUUCUUACACCAAAUGUUGAUUGAACGUUGUUUUCCAUUCAUCAUUCGAAGCAGUUUUUCUGGAAUUGAUCAACCAUUAUUGAGCAAGAUUUAUCAUAAUUUUGCUCAAUUGAAGUGGCUCUUGUUCUUAAACUGUUCAUAUGUCAGUGAUGCUGAAACUAGGCGAUCAAAAUUUUUGUUUAUUCACUAAUUAUAUACGCAUUUGCUUUGCGUUUCCUGUCGAACGGCAUAAACCGAUUUUGAAAUCCUCUGUUUACAACUCAACUUUGAUAAUCACAGCAGGUAAUGUAGGAAUUCACAACGUUUUUGUGCAUGGGAAGCAUUAAAAAAAAAAUUCUUUUUUUUCGAGUUUAUCAAUAAAACAAGUGAUUACUUGUGGAGAUGAACUGCAAUACCGUGAUUCAAAUCUUGUUGGAGUUGUCUGUUCAUUCUUCCACAGUAAUGAUCAAUAAAUACUAAGGCAAGUAAACUGUCAGUUUUAAUUACUUUGUCCUGAUGACAGUUGCUGAGAAAGUAGCCUCCGUUUGCUUUUACCAUCACUGCUUAGAUGAUGCGAUCUGCACUUCUUAAGAUUGCUCUUUCUGUCCCUUCCGGCUCUUGACUUCUGCUGCCAUGGUUGGUAACAUCUCAAAUGUGCUUUCUUUCUGCAGUUUAUAGCAUUGAGUUCUGUUGUGUCUUUCACUUUUCUUCAUUUCAAUGUUGAGAUUGGUAUAAUGUUGUGACCAUAUUGAACCUGUUGCACUGACAUCUGAUCACUAGAAACAACAUUGCUUAUAGAUGAUUGAAGUAGACACUGUGAAAAUAACAUCAAUCCACAAGUAGUAUCUUUGAUUAAUUAAGAUGCUAAUCUGUCUUCAUCCAAUUUAUUUGCAGGCAAGGCCCAUGUUCAAAGACCGAAAUAACUUUUCCCAAAUGGUUGAUCCUUCACUUCAAGGUCAAUAUCCAGUAAGAGGCUUGUACCAAGCUCUUGCCAUAGCUGCUAUGUGUGUCCAGGAGCAGCCUAACAUGCGGCCAGCUAUAACUGAUGUUGUCAUGGCUUUAAAUUACCUUGCUUCCCAAAAGUAUGAUCCCCAAAACCCUCCCUCCCGGAGCUCCCGAAAAUCUCCAUCUUGUCUUGGAGUAAACAAGGACGACGAUCACGGAAAAAAUGCCAGGAGUGGGUCCAAUAGAGAGGAGGUCAAGUCAAGUGGUCAGUGCCUUUCCAAUGGUGUUAAUACAUAGGUAGUGCCUGGUUAUCAAAUUUUAUUGAGCAGGAGAUAACCGGUGCCACUAUACAGAAAGUUUGCCCUUUUCUUUUUCUUCCUUUAAUGUACAUGUCAGCUGAGGUUAUAAGACCCCUCAAUGUUAAACCAAAUUUUCGAUAAUAAUAGUUGAGCGUUAAUAUUCAUAGUAAUUGGUUUUUCUUCUUGUUGAUUUUGCUGUACUGCUUUGUUUUCAGCCAAAUGCAUAUGUUCUUGCACUUGUGACCAAAUUCUCCAAUCCAUAGCUGAUUUGUGGAACUAUAAUGGCUAUUCUUCGCGGACAAAGGACACGGGAUCACCAUUUCUUGACCAUUUUUGGGUUAAAUUCGUUUCCGGAAUUAAGUCAUUUGUUAGCCUAAAAAAUCAGCUACGUUGGCUCGUUCUACUCUUUAUUUUCUUUGGCCAAGUUAUUUAUUUAUUUUUUUAGAAAGUUUAUUACAGCCUACCGAUAUUAUAAUCAAAGGCAUACUAAGAGUAAAUUCUUAUUAUUAUAGGCAAAGGCAUACUAAUUAUUAUUAUUAUGGGUGGGUAAGAUGUAAAUAAAUUUAUUUCAAACUCAAACUCAAGUGGUCGACUAAAAUAUACUACUUGAAAACUAGGCAACAAACAUUUUACUUGCUUUUAAGAAAUAAAUGCAUACAUAUAUGUAUGUAUGUAUAUAUAUAUGUUUGUGUGUGAGUGUUAUUCUUUAGUGAAGACAACCUCGUUUUGUUAAAAUAAAUAUAUCAUUAACAACAUAUCAAUAUAUAUAUAUAUAUAUAUCAUUAACAAAAAAAAAAAACACAGUUUUCAAUGAUUGAAAUUUGUGUUUCUUUAUAUUUUAAUAACAUCCACACUUUGACAAAAUGAGAAUAUUCUCACUAAAAAAUGUCUACACACAUACGCGUGCGCACACACUCUCUCGAGUAAACUUUUUUAAAAAGUAAGUAUAUUACACAAAUCCAUGUAAGGCAAAUAAUAAUUAUUUUAAAGGAAAAUUAUCUCUGCAUUACCUCUAUUUUAUCAUAUAUACAUCUAAUUAUCACAAAAAUUUGACAUGUUAUUUACACUACCUUUGUUUCUUAAUUUUUAUCAAUCAAUCACUUUGACACUAAAAAUUUAAAUAAAAUGAUUUAAAUGAAUUAAAAGACCAUUUUAUCUUACAAAAUUUUUUAAAAUUAAAAAAAAUUAUAAUUACAAGAAUACCCCUGAAUUUAAUAAAAUAAAUAAAUCUCAAAAUUUGAUAUGUUAAUUUUUAUAAUUAUAUUUUUUUAUUAUUCAAAGUUGGUAAUUGUGAUUAUAUGAUUAAUACUAAACUUACUCAGUUAAGAUAUUUUGUUUGUAUUCUAACUAAUGAGACAUCAUAUGUGUCAUCCAAGCAUCUAUCAGUCAAUUUAAACAAUUUUGAUAAUUGUGAUUGUAUGAUUGAUAAAAAAGAAUAGAAAAAAAAAAUUCAAAUGAGUAUUACACGUUUUUUGAGUCAAAAGGAUUAAAAAAUCAAUUAUAUUUUAACAAUGAAUUAAAUGGUAAUUAUAAUUUUUUAUUUUUAAAAUUUUAAUAGGAUAAAAUAGUAUUUUAAUUCAUACAGGGGUAAAAUAAUUACUUUAUUUAAUUUUUAGCGUUAGAGUAGUUCAUUAAUACAAGUUUAAAAAUAAAGGUGGUGUAAAAAAUAUGUUAAAAUUUUGUGAUAGUUAGAUAUACAUAUAACGAUAUGUUGUAGAAAUAAUUCCCUAUUUUAAAAUAUAAAAUAUCGCGAAAAUCAACUCAUCUUAUGGGUAAAGUCUCUUCAGCUGAUAUAAGAAAGUUUGACAGCAUUUGCAUAGUAUUAAAAAAAAAAUUAAUAUUAAUAAUAAUAAUAAGGGAAAAGCACAUUCAACCCCUCAACAUUUAGGAAAAGGAACAAAAAACACCUCAACGUUUCAAAAAGGACUUAUAAUCCCCUUUUCGUUAACAAACACCGUUUGUUUUAACAGUAAAUUUAUUUUUAAUUUUUAAUUACUAUUAUACCCUUAUAAUAAAAAAUUAAUAUAUUAAUUUGAGAUAUAUCACAAUUAAUAAUUUUUAAAAGCUUAAAAUUGAGAUACAAUUAUUUUUUUGCCAAAAUUAUUUACUAUAAAUUAUACCUUUCUAAUGAUCAAACCUUUCAUAUGUGAUUAUUAUUAAUAAAACGAAAUUUGAUUAAACCCUUUUUCUUUGAGGAAUCAAAACCAUAUUAUUAUUGUUAGAAAGGUAUAAGUUAUAGCAAAUAAUUUUGGCAAAAAAAUAAUUGUAUCUCAAUUUUAAGUUUUAAAAAAAUUAUUAAUUAUAAUAGUAAUUAAAAAUUAAAAUAAAUUUACUGUUAAAACAAACGGUGUUUGUUAACAGAAAGGAGUUAUAAGUCUUUUUUGAAACGUUGAGAAGUUUUUUAUCACUUUUCCUAAACAUUGGGGGUUGAAUGUCCUUUUCCCUAAUAAUAAUAAAAAAUCUCAUCAAAGGCCAAAAUCAUGUGCGUAGCGCGUGGCAAUCCUGAUACAUUUCCCGCCUAAAGUCGUUGACAGGCUAGACGAACUGAACAAUCUGUAGCCAGAUACAAAACUCAUAUAAAGAUUAACUCAUCGCAAGAAAUAAGCACACCAGAAAGAAAAUCUAAUGAAUCCUCUGUUUCUUUCUAAUCUCAUUGACAAGAAAAAUCGAGCAACAUGGAUAAUGCAAUUUAUCUUCCCAUCUUUCGCCGUCCCAGCAACCCGUGUCGAUCCAAGGGCGAGAUUCCAGUUUCGCAGCCUCGAACAUCAUCUCCAUCAGCACACAAGUGGAUCCAUGCCGUUCCUGUCAUCAUAUUUCUCUCCUUCUUCAUUCUCUGGCACUUCUCUCAUCCAGGUACUUCAAUUUCUUGCCAAGAUUUCAAUAAUCCUCUUCUCAUUUUGAGAAAUUCUUGUGCUUGUUUAGUUACUUUCUUGAAUUUUUUGUUGCUUCAUUAAUUUGUUUGGUUUCUGUUAUUUGGCAUUCUUGUUUUUUUUGGUAACUUUGGAUUUUUUGUGCAUCCUUGCAAUCAAUGUUCGUUUUCUUUAAGCAAUUCCUUUUGUUCUUGUCUUGAAAAUCCUCUGUUUAGAUCUGUAGAUGAACAAGAAGACCGAUGUCCCUCUUUUACAAUGAUUGCAAUUUCUUUAUCUGACAAAAGAUUCUACAUUUUUGUUAUUGAAUGUACCAUAACUAGAUGUUUUGUUUAAUUACUUUCUGAAAGCAGUGAGUUUGGUAAUCAAGGAUGGCAGACUUGCAGAAAUUCAUCCUGUAGAGAUUCAUCAUCUCAAUGAUUCUUAUGUUGAACUGGCCAUCCUGGCAUCUGCUAACCUUGCCAAUUGACUCAAGUCCUCUGAGUCUGACUAGGAACAAUGGAACCGAAGCACUUCCAGUGAAAAAAAAUGAUGGAAGAGUCGUUGGUUUUGCAUGAUUAGAAGGUUUAACAUAUAUUUUUUUCUUGGGAAUAUUGUAGAAAAGAUCUCAAUUUGUUUGCUCCAGAUAAAUCAAUAGGAUGAGUAAUAAUGUAAUAGAUAGUUUCACGAGCUGCAAUUUUGUGCUUGUAUCAGUUUUGCAGAAAGCUGUAAUUUUGGUAGACUCAGCGUCAUGCGGGUUCAGAAUUUGCUUCACUGUGCUUUCUGGUGUAAAGAAUCUGAUCCAAAUGUAAAGCCUAUGAGUUCUGUUGAUUCUGCAGUUCAGUAAUCUCACUAUUCUUUGCACCUAUUCUGCUAUUCACCUCUAUACUCAUCGUUGUUCUGUUUCUUGAUGAUAAAACUCUACAACAAUCCCUCCUAUGCGACAGCAUAAAUCAAAUCAUGAUCUAAAUUAGUAAAAGCAUCAGCCAAAAAUGUUCCCUACACCAGAUGUAUGUACAAUCUUGAUGCACAAAAAGAAAUUAAAUCAUGCAUGUAUUUAUAUAUAUUACUUACAUUCUGCGAUCGGAGAGGGAUCUGGACAUUUCGAGACUACAAUGGUCUCAAUUCUUUCCAGUGACUCCGUUUUCCACAGACAGUACAUGUGGAUGGGGAGAUUUACGAGGAGAACGAAUCCCUACUGUUUGAUUAUGAUUGGUAUCUUGAUGGAAACUAACCACGUUCGUAUAAAAAGCAAAGGGUCUCUCAUAAGGCUGCCUGGCCACAGGCCUAGUGGUGAAUGCAUAUGCAAUGUAAUGAUCAUUUUUAUACCAAUUAAAAAAAAAAAAAUCUCCUUGAAGCCUCUUCAAGCUCUCUAGGAGAGAUCACUCUUGAGAUUUGAACCACAUAGCCCCAUAAGACCGAAAUGGACCAGGACCAUGCGUUGUCGGUCGUAGUAGAUUGACUGUUGCAUUAUGCUUGCUGAAUCGAGUUUCACCGAUUGAAGCAAGUGUUGAAGGGCUUUCACUCUGCUCAUGCCUGGAUAUAUCGGCCACACUACAUCUACGUGAUGAAUUGAUACCAACGGAGCCACAGGAUGUGCUCCUAGAAGCCCUAGUAGCUCUCCAUACACAUCAUACUGCACAAGCACAAGAGACAAAUUUUCACUUCAGUUCACCUAGCUUCCGAAAUCAAUUUAAUUUGCAUGUUGAACAUUAGUAUUAAAGCCGAGUCGUUUAGGACUCGUUUAUACUAGCUCCUGCUUCUUUCACACAACAGCUUUAGUGUUUGGUACAUAAUUAUAAAAAAUCAUGGUGAAUGGCGUCUCAUCAGUCGUACUAAGCCCACUUCACAAAAGACUAUAUAUUAAUUGUCACAACAACUCAAUCUCAAAUACCCAAAUGAGCCUUAAGACUCGUCGCUGCUUUUCAUUUUUUGUUUCAAAAGUAUAGAUCCAAUUGGCUAGUUAUGUAUACACCUUAUGUUCUAAGGACUUUAUCCUAAAGAGUUCUAUUCUUUUAGUUCGAAUUAAAAUUUUCAGAGUCUUAGGUACUCUUUGUACAUCCACGCUUUCCAAUAAUAUUCUUGUUACAUGCAUCUCUCGAACCAGAGGAGGGGGUAUACACAAGAGUAGUUUGUACCCAACCAUUUUUUAAUGAAGUUUAACCUGAUCAAAACCAUAACCCAAUGAAAACCAACUUCCUUAAGUGAGUGGCACCUGCAAGCUUAGACAUGCAAGCUUGAAUCCUAUCAUCACUGCCGUGCAAAGCCAGAAACCGCUGGAUGCAUCUGUAUUACAUCUUCUCCAAUUCCAUAGUCAACGGAUAAGUAACAGCAAAUCCACCCCGCCAUAUGCCAUUGCAUAAGAAAAAUAUAUAUAUUCUGAUUUUUCGGUAUGGCGCUCAGAUGAACUCCCAAUGCAAUAUAAUAAAACUGAGCAUAACCAUAUUUUGCAAGCACUCUCACCAAAUUCUCCACUAUGAAAAUUGUAUCAUCGUCGGCCAAAAACCAUCUCACAUCCUCCAAUCCGAACCUCAACAUCUCUGAAACGACCCGCGAAAUCCUUAAUGCAGAUCUUUCCCCUGCUUGUUUGUGUAGCUGAAUUUCAGGCAACCUUCCAUUAUUUUCUAACCCUAACUCCUCUGUCAACCCAUACUAUUCCUCUUGUUUCUUUAGGCCUCCACCAUGCUCUUUUCUCUGAUUCCACAAGCUUGAUGACUCUGCUAUCCCAAAGAAAAUGUGCUUUUGAGUUUUGUGUCAUAAAGCAUAUAAUUAAGGUUUGUGAUAUCUUCUUCUUCUUUUCCUCUGAAUUUCGAAGAAGUGGAAGUUGAGUUGAUCAGUUGGCUAUGAGGGAUAGAAGUAUAACAGUCGCUGCCGCGGUCGUUACUUAAGAGAAGAUUUGGAGAGAUGUAAUGCGUGCAAAUGGGCGAUGCAAAACCAAAUCUCAAAGUGUUUCUUAUAAAGCUGAUAUAUGGCAUAUGGCCUGCUUGAAUUCAUUUGUUUAUGAAAAUUUUCUUUUUCUGUGUUACAGUGAUGUAUUUUCUUGCCGCAGGUGUUUCCCAUUUGUAGUUUUCUAAAUUUGGGAAGGAAAUUAAGCAGCUGUUGAAAGUGAGCACUACGAACCCGAUAUAUCGUCUACAAGAUCAAUAUAUAACCGGACUUGUCGGUUAUAAUAAGAUCACAACACGACAUUUAAUAGUCUAGUUUAUAACAAUACAAGCGACAUUUCUUUUGUUACAAAAUUGUAAUCAUUUUGUAUCACGAGAGUCAUGGAUUAAAAGCCAAAAAUUUUAUAAACUAAGACCUUAGAAUACUACUUAGCUUGUACCACACAUUAACGAUUUUAAUCAUUUAAAUGCCACAGAAAAUUUUCAUCAUUCUUUUAAUUAAGUCAAGAGAAAAUCUUAAACGAGUGGAGUAUUUGCAUCACAUUAUCUAUAUGUUUGUCAAAUAUAAUUUAAACACUAACAAUUAUUUUUAAAUUGAAGUGCGUAAAAAAUUUACAAAACGUGCUUGACUUUAUUUGGCAGUUCUAUUGGGCUGUGGAAGCAUGUAAGACUUCCUCCUAAAGUCCAAAGGAUAAGAACAAACAAUUUUUUUUUUUUUUUUUUUUCUUUCCUGUAUAGUGAAUAUCUGCCAGUAUUCGGUAAUAUCAAUUAUCAAGUGUAUGUGGUUCUCAGUCGUUAACAGCUGGAGCUGGGCUUGGAAAACAUGCAGGCUUAAAGCUCAAAAUGGGACACUCGGAGUCAGAGAAAAUGUGGGACCUUGUGUUUUCGAGGCGUUUUUUACUGAAGCGUCUCAAUUAUCAAAAAAGUUUUCUUUGCUAUUUUGUCACAUAUUACGGAAGUAGUGAAGUUUUAUAAUACAUCUAUUGUAUUAUAAUUAAUUAAUAUAUGUAUGACAUGCGUAAUUGAGUUUAAUACAACCACCACUUAUAUGAUAGUUUAUAAAAUAAAUGUACAUAUUUUGUGAUAUUGUUUACUGUUGUAUAGUUGACAUGAUAUAACAAAUAUAUCCUAGAACUUCUCAAAUUAGUAGAUGAGAAUUAAGAAACUGCUUUUAAUUAUUUGACUUUUUUUUUAAAAUUAAAAUAUCCCAAAAUAUACUCCACCCUAAUUAAUGAUCGUUGAAUAAUUAACUUCCAAAAGCAAAGUUGUCAAACGGCACAAACCACACUAGCGACAGAGGCAGAAAACAUGUUCGGAAUUAAAUUGGGAUGAAUUUGGGCAAGAUCGAGUUAUGAUAUAGCUGCGAAUGCGGUACCAAUUAAUAAUUUGAAAUGGGUUUGGUAUUAGUUGAUCCUUUACGUCAUUAUUAAUAAGCCGCCAUGUAUGUUAUUAUUUGAGAUGCAAAUUUUAUAACUACAUCAUUACUCAUUUGGGGCGAAUGUCAAGCGAACGAGUCGGAGAAGUACCGCUGAACCUGAACCAUCUCAAUUAAAUGGUUCCCCAAACGUGCAAGUUGAUAUCAAUUGGAAGUGGUCCACAAAUGGAGAGAGCAAAGAAAGCAACUCAGAGAAAUUAGCUGUCUUUGAUUCUUGUUCUAAUCUCUUCUUUUGUUGGAUCAGCAAAGAAAGCAACUCGGACAACCAACUGCUUGCAUGAAUUGACAAUUCAUGGUUAUGAAUGAGGCCAGAUUAUCAAUUUUCUUGAUGGAAAGAAUUCAAUGUCAUUGGAGUUUCACUUUGCUUGCAUACAAACAUGACAAGUUAUGUCUAGUUGCGAUUCAUAGAGUAGUUUGGAGCUAGCGAGUUAUAAAUUUAGAUAUUUUAAGAUUGAUUUGUACUAAACAUAAAAACUCACAAUUUCGUCCACAAGUAAGUAUGAUUAAUUUUAAGUGCUUCUGCAGUUCUCUAAAAAUUGCUUAAAUUUCUUUUCAGUAUAUAUUAUACAGAUACUUGCAGUUGUAGGCAGUAAUAAUAGAGCAAAAUUUGUCACAAAUUUAAAAGAAAUUGAAAGAAAAAAAUUAAUAAUAGAGUAAAAUUUUGUUUGAGAAUUCCUAGUCAUAGUAUUACAAGUAAAAUUUAAUACUAUUACACUAGUUUAUACAAGCAAAGUUCAUUCUAGAGUUUAUGGUCCUAGUAUUAUUUUCUAUUUAUUAGUAUCAAAUUAAACCUCUUUCCAGUUAUUAAACCAUUCAAAUUCUAAAUCUCUUGUACCCAAUUAAAAAAAUCUUAUUAGUUGAAUUAAUGGUUUUAGUUAUGUUACAUGAUCAUGUAACAUACAUGAUUCUUCAUAAACGUUGGAUGAAAAUCCAACAGUUGUGUAAAUAAGAUGAUAUAUAAUCUUAUAUUUCUAUAACUGUUGAAUUUUCAUCCAACGACUGUGAAAGAAUCAUGUAUCUUACAUGAUAACGUAAGAUAACAAUCUCCUUAAUUAUUUAAUAUCCACAAUUUUCUUUUGAGUCGGGCACGAUCCAAUUGUGUUAGUAUUGUAUGACUAGGGAUUGUUGAAUUGAUGCCUGAUUGAUAUUUUUGGCAAAAAAGAGUGGCUGUGAAGAAAAAGAAAGAAAGAUCAAUUUGUUGUUUACACAGGAGAACAUGAAUCCCAUGCCUUCAAAGUCUUGAGCCAACAAACACCAGAAGAGUGAAACGGGACCAAAUUUUAGGUUCCCCAUUGAUAAAUUGUGGGCACUCAAAACUUGCAUGAAAAAGACACUGCUUUACCAUAUAGCAACAAGAAGCGUUCGAUGUGACCUCAUAAAAACCAGCCGUGAACAGAUAAGAAAGGAAAAAAGAAAUGAACAGAUCGAUUUCUGAAAAGUUAAUUCACGUGGCUUUGGACCUACCGCAAGUGGGGCUGGCUUCUACACAGUGUCCUCAUUCCAUUUUAUCUUUAUUACACCAAUCACCAAUCAAUGUUAAGUAUACAUAUGCUACCUCGAUGGGGUCUUCGAGAUUUUGUUAUUAUACAAUAAUUGAAUUAUAUGGAGACAGUACUCUCAAAAUUUAAAGCCUAAAGUUAAAAACAUGGAGUGUUCGCGAUAAACUUUUAUUUGUUUAAGUAUCAUGUUAUUACUGUGCUAAUUAAAAUGACCUUAAUAUAUCAUAAUGUAAUACCAAUAGAUUAUAUGGAGAGAGCGAUGAUUGUUUGGUAGUCCUCUUUUUGAACAUGGCUGGAUGAGAAGGAAGAAAAGAACAAGCAUAAAGAUUUGAAAAU
Molecule: long non-coding RNA, 64115 nt
Filed under: Citrus sinensis (sweet orange)
Lineage: Eukaryota; Viridiplantae; Streptophyta; Magnoliopsida; Sapindales; Rutaceae
Description: long non-coding RNA (CSIN_LNC003656)
Source: RNAcentral